UUUUUUUAAAAAGUUGUAUAAUUUUGUUUAGUAAUAUAUUACAGAACUUUUUUUUUUUUGAGAAUAAUAUAUUACAGAACUUAAUUUAAUAUAUAUUUACACUAAAGUAUAUUCGUAAUAAUUUAUAAUACCUCUCAGAACGGAUUUGUGAUUCAUCAUUCAUAAUACAAACAUAUUUAAAUAUACCAAUAACUAAACAUAUUUAAAUAUACCAAUAACUAAGGCUGUGUUCACUUAGAAGGAAUAGAAUGAAGGGAGAAUAGAAUGGAUUUUGUAUUAUAAAUUGUGAGUGAUUAGUGAAAUUAUUUAUAAUUUUCAUUUCUUCAAUCAUUCCAUUCUAAUUUAUUUAACUAAAAAUCUUACGAAAGAUCAUUUCAUUUGUUCUAUCAUUUUUUCCAUCAGCAUAUCAUCUUCAUGAAAAGUUUUAACUCACUCAUAUUUAAUUAUUAUUGCCUCAUACUUUUUUCAUUUUCUUAAAAUUUCUCCAUACAUUUUCAUUCAAUUCUCCGCUCAUUUCAUUCAAUUCAAGUGAACGCAGCAUAAAUGCUAAUGACAUGCAUGAUAUAAUGCAAAUGUCAUAAUUGCUUGUCCAAAUAUGUUUUCGGACACCAUAAGAUUUGUAUGAAUUUUUUGUGUGUGAUAUAUUGUAAUAUGUCAAAUGAAAGAAUUGUAUAUGUACUAAUAGAUUGUGUGACACCAUGUGUAAUUUCAACGUGUAGUUAACAAAAACGCAUCUGUGAAGCUGUUAUGGAGUAAGGUCGUUUAAGUCGAAAACAAGUACUACAGGACAACUACCACUUCAUAUCUACCAACAUAAGUAGUACUCCCUCUGUCUCUUUAAGCUUUUCCUAUUUGAAAUGUCGGGAUUGUUCAUGACAUGAGUCAAAUGCUUAAUUUACGUCAAAUUUAUAAGACCAAAUAUAGUCAUGAGUGAUCUUGUUGGAUUCGUAUUUACGAGUAUUUUAAUAUAAUAAAGUUUUUUUAUUUAAUACUAAUAUGAAAUUAAAGAUAUAAACGAUAAAAAACGUGUGUUGGCAAACGUGUCCAAGGCAAACAGGAAAAGUAAUAAGGGACGGAGGGAGUAUACUAAAAAGACAACUGAAAUAAACCUCAGGUUCCGUAUUAAAUAUACCGUUCGAUCGCUCUCGUCUUGCAUACAAAUCAACAUCACACUCCACGUAAAUGAACUCACAUUACAGAAUAUGCGAAUUUUCAGCUUAAAUUUUGCAUAUGAAAAUUGCUUAAAUAAUUGACAAAAUUUAAAAAAAUCAAACAAAAUUACAUCCAUCACAAGAGUCCACUUCAAGCUUGGCAUGCUGUAGUGGAGCGUACAAUCCCCGUAUAAUAUUUUUGUAUUAAUUAGAUUAGAUAUAUUAUAUUUAAACAGUGAUUUUGAUGAACCACAAAUCUUCUUUAUCGGUAUUAUAAAAAAAGGGAAUCAGAUUUAAUCGAUGAAUUCACAGAACAAUGAUUAAUCCGGGAUUAAUUGGAUUGACCAGAAAUUAAUAGGAUGAUUAAUUGAAGAUUCAGAUAUUUAAUCGGUUCGACGAGCUAUGUAACAUGGAUUAAUCGGUGAUUAAUCGUGAUCAGUCACCGACUUUUAUUAGAAUAUAUCUUAUAAUCAUAUCAAGCAUAAUCAAUUUAUUAAUAUCCACUUAUUACGAUAUUUGAUAUUAGGGGCUAAAUCCAGAAAUUAAUCUAAGACCAGCUGGUCUUAAAAAUUAAGGGAAUGAAUUUGUUCGAAUUUUGCGAACUUAUCCCCAACUUGAAAACAAUUUUGCGAUAGAAUGCCAUUUGCAAAAACCAAGUAUAGGCCAACAAUGUGUUGGUGUGGUGGUAGAGCUCUUGUAUCCCUUUGCGGGAGGUCGGGAGUUCGGGAGUUCGACUGUAAUCAAUUAGCAAAAAAAAAAGAAAAAACCAAGGCUAGGAGAUGAAAAACUGAAGACAAAUCAUAAAAAGGAAAGAGUCAAUUAUAAACUUGUGCAGAUAGUACCUGCUAUUCUACCAAUCUUCAAACACAUUGCAUAAAUGCGAAAGAGAUAGGCAACUACCAUUGCCAUUCUCAACUACCUUCACCUCACCUCCCUAGUACUAUUUCUUUAUAGCAAGAUUUUCUAGAAAUUGAAAGUAAAGAAAGAUCUAACUGAAUGCCAUAACAUUCUAAUGUUCAUUAAAUGGUUCAUUUCUAUGUGUUAAGAAAUCAACAAUAAUUGCGGUUAUAGACAGUACAUCAUAAUAGAUAGGCCCAGUGAACCCAGAUUUAAGGGUUUAUGCAGUUGCAAAUAUUUAUUUGGAUGCCUAGGUUACUACAGCGAUGCAUUCGUGUUGGAAAAAGAAUGACCCUCUUCCAGACAUCUCGAGAUUUUAGGAGAAUUUGUCUUUUAAUAACAUGUGUUUAUUUCACCUUAAAAUGCAGAAAAGAAUCUAGAAAUAUACUUGAUAGCUCACAUUUGUUUCAAAAUUCAGACUCGCAAGUCGCAGCAUUUUGCAGAAAAAAUUCCUCUCAUAAAACGGAAAGCAGAAACACGGACUCUCUGUCUGCUUGUGGUUGUGAUUAGGCUGCUGGUCAGGACAGAAGCUAAACAACUCUAACCAAGGGUAACAUUCUGUUCAAGGAUCCAGAAGCCUGGUCUGUUUUUUUUUUUUUUUAAUAAGUAUCAAUUCAAUAAUAAAAAGCCAUACGGCAUCUACAAAAAUGUCGCGUCGAACAAACCAUAAAACAAAAACAAUAGCUGAUUAACCCAUUCUUGUUGGAGAUACAAUCACACCAUUUGUUGGAGAUGAUAUAUCAUAUAUUUACAUGUACCCGCUUCACCAUAUCCAGUUGGAACUAAUCCGGUUUGAGCUAUCGACCAUAAUUGCGAUCCCAUAAAAACUCUUAUCACCAAAUCAAACACCAUACUCUCACAAACAAAGGAGAGAAAUACCAAAACUCUCACAAAGGAGAGAAAUACCAAAACUCUCACUAAGGAGAGACUACAACGAAACUGAAAUUGCAAAUUAAAUUAAAAUUACAAAAUAAAAGCAAACUUUAGAUCCAGAAAACAAACCACAAAAAUAAGAGAAACCGGACCCCUCUAAACCGUAUAGCCAUCCAUUUGAUCGGAGAAGACAAAAAUCCGGAUACUCCGAUGGUCUGUUAUCUCGUGUUUGUUAAAGCAAUGAUUUAUUUCAAAAAUUCUCUCAAGUUUGAAUGAUUAUCAGCUACAUGCCUACAUAAAUCUCUACAAAGCAACUCAACUCCAUAAAAUUACUGUAUUAAAAGGAAUCAGGUAGUAUGUCAUGCAUGAUCGAAUCUUGAAGUUUCGAUGUUUAAGGUUGAAACACUCUGCAUCAGGCGUAACGAUUACAAAAGAAUAGAUACUUACAAACUCCGAGUCCAAAAGAAAUAUCUGUGAAUACAUUGUUAUCUUCAGUAAACUGCUGGUUGCUUAAUUCCUCUAGAUUACUAUAGAGGAACUCGCAUAGAACAUAUGGCGCAAGUCAAUCUCUAAUGUGAAAGCAAUGGUUAGGGCUUUGUAUUUGAGCCUGCAUUCCUGAUUUAUUGAAAGACUUCAGUAAGAAACUAUAAGAGACAGAAUGAAGUCAGUAAAUCAUCUAAUAUUAUGUAAAAACUAUACAUACUCUAAAUGACUAGCAAGAAUGAGCAAGUUCCAACCCUACCUAAACGAAUCAUAGACGUUGCCCUCAGGCCUCAGCAGUAUUGUAGCCUAAGUGAUAACCUCUUCUCUCGGUAACAAGAGGUUGAUGGCAAGGGCGGACCCAGAAUCAUUUACUUAUCCAGGCUAAUUGCAAAGAGACAUUUAUACUAAAUUUAGUAAAGAAACAUGACUUAUUUAGUUUAUAAACUAAAAAAUUGAUGGAGAGAGUCUACAGAUAUGUAGGAGUAAAAGAUAUCUGCCAUUGAUCUUUGCUAAUGAAAAAAGCUGUAUGAUGAGUAAGAUAAAAGAUGCAGAAGUUCAACUCUGUAAAGACCACGGAAAACAUGCAAAAAUCUGAUGCUAUAAUAGUUAUCUGACAUAAUAAAGCAGCUGGGUACUUCAUACUUGACUGGUUUACAGGUGUGGAAACUCGUAUGUGGCGGAAUCUUGUUCAGAGCCUCUGAUCUCAUAUUUCAGAGACGAGUUGGAACAACUUGGAAUGCAUGAGCAUAAAACUCAAAAACAACAAAUGCUUCUUUGUUCAUAACUCCUAAAAGGGAGAGGGAAGUGACUGGCCUGGGUAGAAUUGAGAGAUUAAUGAUAAUUGAUAACCGUCUUUCAGUCCUCUUGUCAACAAUUCAUGAUUCUAUUAUCCUCAAACCCACAAAUUAAACAAGAACACUGGGUGAAACCAUUCCCAGUACCAUCAUAUAAGCUUCUCGUUAUAUCAAUUCAAAACUAUUACGAGUCUGCAGUUCCCUCGGAGAACAAUCUUUCAAUUGUGCCAUGUACGUUACAAAAAAUUCUACAAUCACAACACUCAGCUAUAUGUCUAUAUCAAUAUAUGUAAUUAUGUACUAGCCAUAAACAUGUUACAUUUCCUCAAGAAUAAACCUAAAACAUUCGCUUCCAAAUAAUACUUGAAAAACAGAGAAAAAAUUAUUGAUAGCAGAAACAUAAGCAUUCUUCUCUGCUCUACUGAUAUUGCAAUACAUAAUCUAAUCUUAUGGGGGUAACAUAUUCAGUAAUUGAAUGUCAUGGGCAAUAUAAAUAUCUUCGUUUCAGCAAUAAAAUUAAAAGAAACGCAUAGAAAAUCCAUUGGAUUCAUCUAAAAGUUCAACAAAUAACCACAAAGUGUCCCAACACUCUGAUGGAUAAGGCAUUUAAUUUUCAUCCCCACUGAUAUCAGAUGCUAGAUCUGUCUCUGAAAAGGCGAAUCUUAGGUAGAAUUGUCAGAAUCAUAAUAACUUAAUUAUAUAUAAAUUCAAGUAUCCGAGUCUGACAUUAAACUUUCUUGAUACCUAAAAAAAAUAAUUUUUCUCUGAGUGAGUAAUUUAUGAAUGAAGAUUGUCAUUUUCUUAGCUGCAUCAUGUUGUACAUCAAAAUGCUCUACCCAGCGAUGUCGUAGGCAAGGUCACUAAAAUCACAUAAUUUUAUUGAUGUAAUCAUUAUUAGACCAUGAAGGCUCAGAUGCAUCAAAUCUUCAAACAAACCGACACAAACACAAACAUUAGCAGAAAUUACCUAAACCACAAGGAAAAGGACCAAUCGAAUACUCAGCUCAAGAAGUUCAAAAAAUCAGCUAUGGACUUCACCAAAGCAAAUUUAUCAAAAUUAACUCCAAAGUAAUGCUUCUCCCAUUUAGUAGCCUGGAGAUUACUUGUACUUCCUGUUGGAUUAUUUUGAUCCAUCCAUAGAUCCAUAUAGUUCACAUUUGCACUCCUAGGAAUGCAGUAACUGAUAGUUUUCAUAAUAUAUAUGGGUUAAUUAUGAAAUAGGACAGUCACUCCAUACCAAUAUAUAUCAUCCGGCUCACUCUCAAAUUUUCGGUCUUGUUUAAAAUAUUGAUUAUUAACUGAUACAGCCUGUUAAGUUUUUGAAAAGAAAAUGUUAAAACAUACAGGUACCGUUAAAGUCAUCUACGUGUACAGUGACAAGGCAAAAAAUUUAUGGUGAUUGGGCAACAAUUGUAAAAGUCAAACAAGUCGAUUAACAAUUUAAAACAUAACAAAAUCAAAGAUAAAAGAUAAAAGAAACUACACUAAAUGUAAAUGAUGUAAACCCCUUUGUGAGAGCUCUGAGAAUCAAAGCCCUAACCCUUUGAGAGAGAUCAGAGAAUCGAAGCGGAGAAACGAUUUGGGUGUGUAACAGCAAUCCACUGCGAGGUGAGUUGAAAGGUAUAUUUUUUUCACCUUUAUGAUAUAUACAUUUCAUAUCAUAGGGCAUGUAUAUAUGUGUGUUGUGUUGUAAUCGUAUAUUUACAUUAUUUUGCUUUCAGUGUGGUUAAAUUUGAUGUUUAUGUGCACCAUCGGGGGUAUUUUGCACACCCACCCAAUGGGACUGUCGGGUAUGUUUGGGGUGUAGUUGAUAACUUAGUGGAAGAUACAGAGACCCUGGAUUUUAGUGAUUUAGAGCAUUAUACAGUUGCAUUUGACUAAUAUCGUAAAAAUUCCUUUAUUUGUUAUCAAUGUGAUGGUCAUAGCUUUGAAAAAAUGUUGGGGUUUUGUAUGAUGAUAAUUGCAUUAUGGAGAUGAUAGAAUUCAGUAAGCCAUAUGGUAGUAUAUAUUUGUAUGUUGAUCACUUUGAUUUGGAAGAUUUUGAAAUAGAGCAGGAAAUAAGAUACGAGAAAAAGAACAGAGUAUAGUGAUGAUAGUAGUGCGGAUGGCCCUGAUUUGUGGAAGAUUUCGAGGAUGAGGGGACUGAUACUGAGGUUGAGGUAGCGAAUGAAGGUGAUGUAGAAUUUGACGAGGAUGGGAAUGAUGGUGAGUUGGUAGAAAAUAUGAAAGGUAUGAAGAUGAGAAAAGCUGUAGAGGCAAAUAAAGUGAAUGCUGCUUUGAGGAAGUCUAUGGUUGAAAGAAGGAGAUGAUGGAAGUGGGGAGUCUGCAUAUCUUAGUGAUGAAAUGAGGUCACUGGCAUCUUCAAGGGAAGAUGAGCCAGUUAGGAAGGGCUAGAAAGAGCCAUCGUCAACAAAUAAUAAUAAUAAAAAAAUGCGGUGUAUAAUCCUAACAAAUGUACAAAUGGUACUAAGUUCAAUCCAGGAAUGAGGUUUGGCUCAAUGGAUGAAUUUAGAAAGGCUGUUAGAGACCAUGGAAUUUCUGAGAGGAGAGUAAUUUUGUUCAAUCACAAUGAAGUGGCAGGUGUCAAGUAGUUUGUGAGAAGAACUGCCCAUUUUAUAUAUAAUGCAGAAAACUUAAAAAUCAUGAGACUGUUGACAAUGAGGACAUUGGUUGAUCAACACAUAUGCACCAAGUCUUAUAAAAACAAGUUAGCUUCGGUUAAGUAUCUCACUGAGGUACAUGGAGAGAGCAUUAGAAAGAAGACUAACUUAGAAGAUAAAGAACAUGGUUGACACAAUCAAGAAUGAUUUAGAACUAGAAGUGCUUAAGAUAACAGUUAUAAGGGUGAGAAAAGUAGCUGUUGAGGGUGUUUUUGACCGUUUGAAGGAACAUUACUUUAGCGUGACGGAUUUUGGCCAUCAAGUCCUUAAUAAUCCAUAAAACAGAGUUUUUGUAAGUACUACAAGGAUUAAUGAGAGUGAUCUUAACAAGUUUAAGAGAAUCUGUAUUUGUUACUAUGCACUCAAGGAGGGCUGAAAGCUUGGGUGUAAACCAGUGCUCGGGUGAGAUGGGUGUUUUUUUAAGACAAUUGUGGUGGUCAAUUAUUGUCAGCUGUUGGAAGGGAUGAUAAUAACCAAAUGUACCCAGUUGCAUAUGCAGUUGUAGAAUUUGAAAAUGGUUGGUUCGUUGAGCUACUGAAGGAUAACUUCAAUCUAGGGGAUUGCAAGUAGGGGUGAGCAUUCGGUUCAGUUAACCGAAAAUCGAACCGAUUAACCGAAAAAAAUUCGAUUUAGUUUUCGGUAAGCAAAUUCUUCGAUUUUGAUUUUUCGUUUUUCAAUUUUUUAACCGCGGUUAAGUGAAAUAUUUAUACUUCUGCAGAAUAUUUAUAUUUUCAUGAGAAGCAUAGAGUAAACUUCUCCAUAUUUCGAAUGUAAACUCUUGAUGCAUUUGAAAGUUUGUUAUUUGGAUGUUUUAAAUUUGUAAUUUAAUAAGUAUAAAUUUGAAUAUUCUGAAUUUUUUGCUUUAAUUUCAAAUUUUUUAUAUUUAUGGUUAAAUCUCGGUUUUAUAAUUCGAUUUUUGGGAAUAAUUAAAAUAUUAUUUUCGGUUCGGUUACAAAACCGAAUUUAUUUCGGUUCGGUUUUUGGUAGGCAUUUUUCUGACAUUUUGGUUUUGAUUAGCUGAAUUUUAAUUUGGUUUUGUUCGGUUUUUACCGAAUGCACACCCCUAAUCGCAAGGGCUAUACUAUAAUAUUUGAUCAACAAAGGUAUGAGCUAACUUACUAUAUAAUGUCAAUUUAUGCAUUGACUCUAGGGAUGAAUGAUGUAAUUUUUAAUAAUUUUUAAUAAGGACUUGAAUUAGGGAAUAUUUUCCUAAUGUAGAACUUAGAAACUGCGGAAGACAUUGUGCUCCAAUUUUAGAAUGAGAAAAAGAUUAUGCUCUAACUGUUAUUUGAUAUGUUUUCGUUCAAAGAUUGAAUAAUGAGGUAUAUCUUCUAUGCAGGUUCAAAGCUAAUUUGCUUAGAAACCUGUUUUGGUCAAUUUCAACAGCUACACAUCCUGUAGCUUAUUAGAAGGCCAUGAAAAAAAUGGAAAGAGCAAGCAAACCAGCCUACCAAUAUUUGAUGACUAAAGACCCCAAGUCAUGGUGUAAGGCCUUCUUUACCACACAUUCAAACACUAAAAAUGUGGAAAAUAAUAUGUUAGAGUCAUUCACUGCUUGGAUUAUUAAUGAAAGGUUACAUAUCUUCAAUUGAUCAUUUAUUUGUUGUUUUGAUAUAUGUUUUGAUAUGCUUUGUAGACACCCUUACUUGACUUGUCAGGUAUAUGCCUUUACCCGAUAUGCUUCAGGAGAUUCAUUUUAAGUAAUGAAUAGAAUUACUGAAUUAAGAAGAAUAGAGAGAAUACGGAACUGAAUGAGUUGCAAACUUGUCCAAAGAUUAAGGGAAAACUUGAUCUUUCUGUGACAAAAUCAAGAGAUUGGAGGGCAACUUGGGAUGGAUUGAGGACAUUUGUGGUAUGGUUUCUAUUUGAUAUAUUUAUUUGUUCUAAUAAUUGUUAUUUUAUUUGUGCUAACUAUUUAUGGAAUUUUUCAGGUGAAAAAUGGUAUUGGGACCUUGAUAGGUGACUUGACAGAAAUAAAGACUGCAGGGUGUUUGACUUGACUAGUAUUCCAUUUGAACAUGUAGUAGCAACAUAUAAUAGACACAAAGGAGCACAGAUCUAAUCUUCAAUAUGUAUAUAAUUAAUCACCUUGAACGCAUAUAUAAUCUUGUAUAUGUAUAUAAUUCAUCACCUUUUAUCAUUUCUCCCAAAUCAUGGCUUAUCAAAUUAGAUUAUUUGGUGCUCAGUGUGAAACAAAACUACUAAUUUCUACAAUGUCACUAUAUUAUUAUAGAUGAUUAAAAAGACACGAAAUGCAUAACCAAAAUUUUCAUAUAAGGUUGAUAUCAUUUCAGUUACUUACGAGGUACCAUACAAAGCUUAAUCAAUCAUGAUUAAAUUUAAAUAUGUCUGAAAAGUGAAAACAGAUUAAACACAGUAAAUUCGGAAGCUAAGUUAUGAGUAGAUCCUAGCCCCUCAGAGUGGAGAAACGUAUGUGUAAAGAUCUUUUGGAGGAGAAGAGUAUACAAGGAGUAAAACAAUACAGGUAAAUAUCGAUAAUAAAAAUGAAAUUAAUAAAACAGUAAACAAAGCAAAGAAUAAAGUUUUAAUAGAUAUAUUGCACAGUUUUAAUAGAUAAAUGGCACAUAUAAGACAAAGCAAAUAGACAGUACAAUAUCUAGGAUGAAAAUAUAAUCCAAGAAAACCGAAUACUCCCUGUGGUACUUUGUCCAUCUCCAAACGAGAGGGCCCACUACUCCAAAUCAUCGAUCCCAUGGGUUCCUAACUAAGAUAUAGGCCCUCAACCAGAUUUAAAACUUCAGUCUAGCCUCACAUUUUCAACCCACAUCCUGACCGAUGUGUACAUUUAACUCUUACUGUACAUUAACGUUACCAAAUUUUUUACACAGGAUACUUAAACCCAGGAUCUUUUUCCUUCCUAUUCUAACCAAUAGGGGUAAUGCAUGGAUCAAUAUAUUGACGAUACAAGAAAGGAACACCAUCAACAGAUUUUACAGAAAUACAAGAAUAAAGAAUGGAAAUCCGCAUCAUAAAAACCUUGACUUUACACUCAAAUUAUAACUUCAUGCUCCAGUUCAACUAAUCAAUGUGUCCGACUUGCAUGUUUUUUAUCUGCUCAAUACAAGCUCAAGAGCUUUGACUUGUGGCUGGGUCAAGCUCUGCAUUAACAAGUAAUUGGUUGGAAGUCGGACAAAAUUAUGCAUAUAUCUAUCAGAAAAUUUAAAAAUUGCAAGCCUACUGAAUAAAAAUACUACUCAUAUACCUGGCAUAGAUGAUCAAAAUAUGGUUUGUCACUAUGAGAGAACUUCACGAUAAAAUCCACUAGAUAGCUUGUUAGAUUAAUCUGCCAUGAUUCAGUAUAAAGGUCAAAUACUCAAAUCUAUAUGGAAGAUUUGUCCACAAUAUUUAUUAUUUAAUAAAGCUUCGGGGUCUAAAGAAGACACCUUAUUUAAAGGAUCAGCACUACUUAGCAAUUCAUCCUCGAAACCAUCAUCUUGGUCCUUUUAACAAUGGCAGGGACAAUAAUGAAUAUUAGCUAUAAAUUUUUCCAGAUAUAAACAUAAGACGAACAUCGUCCGAGUGUAUUAAAAGGAUAUAUUAUUUCUGCACACCUCAUCAAAGGAUUUUGCCAUUGACUCAAGAUAGCUGUUUUUGACUCUACCAGAUAUGUUGGCACCUGCCGAAUAUAGCAUAUUUUGAUUGGUUUCAGUAUCUUCGGCCUCAACUUCUUCCCAUUCAUCAUCCUGAAACACAAAUUGCUUUAGAUUUAAGACAUCCUUAUCAAUUGGUCAACUAUUGUCAUGAGCAUUGAGAAUCAGCAAGUACCUCGUCAGCACCAGCUACAAACUGUUCUCUCAUCUCAAUAAGUGUAUCAGCCAGGAUAGCAAGUAUCUGCCAUCCCCAUGAAAUAGUUUUUAGCCAGGCAGUUUUUAGAGCUAACUAAGCUCAGGUCUAUCAUAUUACAUAUACAUUCUCAUCAAUGGUAUCCAUAUCUUUUUAUGCUAGCUAAUUUACAAUUAUUUUUUUUACAUUCCUAAUAUUUCCCAUCUUAUAUAAGAGUGCUGAUGAAAUUUUUAAAAGCAGUAGAGAGUAGAGACAUAUUUCCAGUCAAGCACAAAAGAAAGCAGGCAUAAAAAAAAAUGGAGUAUAUAGAUGAAGAAAAAUCAUCAAUAGAAGGAAAACAGGAAUAAUGGAAAUUGCAAGUUUAUUAUUUAAACAGGGAAAAUUACUGUGGCACAAGCACUGCACAGCAUGUUGGCCGGACCUAAUAUGGACCAAAUAUAGCUAUUCUUGGAUAAUGGUCUGUGCCUGUAAUUCAUAUGACACAGACAUGUAGGAGGUUAGUACAUACCUUUGCAGGGAGAGGCAUAAUUGUCCACUGAUCUGGAGCUAGUUUAGCUUUAGAGCGAGUGGUUAUUCCUGAAGUGGACUUCAUGAUUUAAAGGAAACAUUUUAAUUGCUUGAAAGGAAUCCAAUACAUGCCAAGUGCACAAGCAAAUGAAACCACACCUUAAUCAGAUGUCCUUGAACAUUAACUAUUUCCAAAUUUGCAUGCCUGGUUGAUAACAGUAAAGCCAAAGCAGUGGUGGUAACUAUUAUUUGGUAUGCCCCCUGUAUUUCUCCUGUAUUAAGCAGUACUGAGACGAUUAUAAUAUUUCUUAUAUAGACAUAUUUUAUGUAUCUAUGGUAUAUAUACAACCAGACAGUCAACAGUUUAGGAAACCGAUACUCAUAAAUAUCGUUUCUUUCUUCUUUUUUAAAAGUUAUCAAGCAACAACUACACAAAUAAACUUUUGAGCAAUGAGGUAGUUACUGCACUACUUCAGUAAGCAGAUUUAGCAUUUAAGAGAUGGUAGAAUAAAAAUAAAAAAUAACUGAUAAAUAUACCCGUUUUGUGAUUAACUAUGAAACACCAAGUCACCAAGCACUAGAAUGCCUAAUUAAACUCAUAUAAACAACAAUCAGCAAAAAAUCAGUUGUAUCAUGAAAAAGUGAUGGCCACUAGAAUAUUUAUGUGUGAAACAGGAUACUAAGAAGCAAGUUAUCGAGGACACAGAAUAAAUAAAAAUAACGAUUUCAUGAACAAUGCUUGCCUUGCUGCUUUGACCAUUCGGACAUCACAUAUGCAAAAGCAUUAUAAUGGCCCUCAACUGGGACUGAGAUCAUUAGAUCAAUAAAUUGCUCCACUUGUGGUACACUUAUAUGAACCUGCAGAAAUAGGGAAAGUUAAAUAUCGAUUUUCUUAAAUGCUUUAACAUCCUAUUGCAGAUAGAAAGAAGGUUGGUACAAAAUCCAGAUCAUUGUUCUUUUUCCGAAGAAGUCUCUUGUAAAGACCAAGUGUCUUCAAAUUAUUACUCUUACCACAGAACAAGUGGCAAGCCUAAAAUAAUAAUCGGAUAAGACAAAAAAAAAUAAAUUAAAAUAGUACAUAAUGUACGGUAAAUUACCUGUCCUCCUAAAACCUCAAGUUGGAGGAACUAACAUGUUCAUAUUAUAUAUUCUAACACUCCCCUUACUCGAAAGCCCAUAUUUGGGGUAAAGAUACGAUGUUAUGAUACCACUUUCCCAAGACCUCAAGGUGUCAGGAGUUAACUGGAUGAUUUAUUAUAUUCUAACAUGUAUGAUGUUCCGUUUUUAUCAAAUUAAGAAUGGGAUAUCAGUGCUUCACGACAAUUUAAGUUUAAAUAACAGGAAUUGAAGCUAUCACAAAAAGUUGAUAAUAUACCAGUCUAGCAAAUAUAAGUAUUAAUGAGCUUUUCAAUCCUGCAAUUUGACAAGAUUGCAUGCGCCUAACAAGAGCAGCUACCAGGUCUCUAAUGUGCUGUGCCAUUUGUGAUGGCAGAUGUAAAAUUAGUUGCAGAAUGUAACUUGCAACAAAGAGCGACCCUGAGCUUUCCAGAUCAGGGUUGAGAAGCCUGCACAAUCAUAUGUUGUCCUUGUUGAUAAGCCAAUAAAUAACAAUCAAUAUAAAUUAAGAGAUAUAUAUUAUAAACUGCAAAAAUGAUAAUAAAAAACCUUGCUACUUAUAUUAGAUUAAAAUAGACUACUGUAAAAAAAUCCAUAAGAUGAAAUCCAAAAACGUCCUACAAAAUUAUGCAUUCCAAACUUACAGAAAGAAGAUCCAAGAAUACCACCUCCUUGACAUUAAAUGCCAAGAAAUGUUAUAUAAAUACACACACACACACACACACACACACAUAGGGAUAGGAUCAAAUAAAAACUUUUUUAAGUUACAAACUUACAAACUUUUUUUUGAAUUUUUUAUUAUUCUCCCAUCGUGUUAAUCCUUAGUUAUAGAAAGUAUCCAUGUUGAAAUUUCUUGAAAAAACAUCAGAAUUUUUAUAAAUUACGCAUAAAUAAAUCGUGCAUUCAACAUAUUUGUAACUCGUUAAAUAUAGGAAAUGAUACCAAUUAUAUGUACAAUAAUAUGACACUGAAUGAGUGAGCGGCCAAAGCAAGUGUUGGAUUCUGCUAUUUAAUUAUGGCCAAACUCCACAUCAAGCUUGAAAAUUUCUUGAUCCUAAAUUCGGGUCUCGUAAUUUAGAAAGACACACACAACAUGAAUCUACAUCAUUAACUUUUCUCAGAAAACGGAAAGAGUCAGAAAGACAGAAAUCACCUUGAAGCUACAUCAAGCAAACUCUUCAUGGUAAAUACCGGGUCACCUCCCCAAGAAAGCAAAUCUUCUUUUCCGCAAUACAAGAAGGCAGCUAAGCACUGAGUUGCAUUCUGCCAUCAUUACAGGAACAUAAUGAAUAAUUACAAUAUAAAAAAAAUAUUCAAUAAUCACAUCCCUGCCGUGAAUUUAACAAAUCUGUACACAGUACAAACAAUAACCUGCAUUUCACUAUGGUCGUCACUUUGUAGGACUAUGCGUACCACAGGAUCAAAGGAAACAUCAUAAACUGCUUUGACAACAUCACUAGGGGCAUUCUGAUGCAUUUUACAGAAAAUAUUAAUUAGUUCAAACUGAGAAAACAAGAAAGACGGCCAUAAAUAUAUCUAGAAACAAACAUGGGUGUGAACUCCAAUUAUAAAAAAGCUAAGACAUUGUAUCUAGAAACACACGUAAGUGUGAACAACAGUUAUGGUAAGUCUGAGUCACUGUUUAGCAAUAAGAAAAGUGCAAAUUCUAACUCACCUUCAACAACAUUGCCACAAGGUCAAGUGAACCAGCAACCAAACCAUCAGGUUGUUGUUGAGGCUGAAACAAUGUCAACCAAAUGCAUUACAGACAACCCACUUUAAAAGAGAUAGAUUCAAUCAAAUUUGAGUAAUAUGAGAAACCAUACACGAUUAAGGAUUGGUCCAAUAUAAGGCAAAAUUCGAGAAACCAGGGGAUGUAUACAUCCAGGAGCAUUUUUUAUUGCCUGGAAAAAAGAAAGAUUAAACAAGUAUUUAGUUCAAUGAAACACAGAAUAUAUAGUACCCCAUUGAAAACCAUGACUGCAUAUAUACACAGAGAUCCACGCAAUCUCCCUCAAAAAGUAAAAUAAUCCAAACAAUCUAUUUAACUGAAUAUUUAUAAACCGCCAGGUGGCGAGUAUAGUAGUUCUUAUAGGAAGAUUACUUCAUGAAGAAAAGAAUAAACCUACGAGUAGAAGCAACAGAAAAGAAUUAUGAAGCUAUCCCGAAAUAUAGCCAACUAUAUAAAAUCUAAAUGAAAUAUUUGUGUACACUGUUUUCCUUAUAAUUAAAAUUUUGGAAAUUAUUAAUGGUACCAUUGUGGUAUUGGCUUCUAUGAAUGGUACCAUUUCGUGUUUUUGACUUACAAGCGGUACCACUCAGUUUAUGAUCCGUUAACGGUACUACCAUUCCGUCCAUUAAAAACGUUAGUUGACCAUAUUUAUUUCGUAUUUUCCUUUAAAAAACACAAAAAAUACAACUGAUAUCCGUAUUUUUUCUUUGCGUUCUUGAGUUCUUCAGCCCGGGAUAUGAUGGUCUGGUGAAGGCCACAACAGCAGCAAGGCAGCACUUCAGCCCAGACCAACAAAGACAACUGGUCAUUCAGGCCCUUGAUAAAGCUUUCCUAAGCCCAUCCUCUCUUUAGUGAGUUUCUUUUGGUCGCCAACCAUCCUCAUCUCUCUUUCUCUNGCGGCUCGUUGGAAAUAAAAGGGCCUGAGCAGUGGUAUUGAGGCUACUGUGGGUGCUUGUGUUUAUAUAUCAGUUGUGUUGUUUAAUGUAAUCGUGAAAGGUUAGAUAGAGCUCGUCUGAAGCUUCGAUUUGGUUACUCAUACUCUUAAAACGGACACCGGCAACAUGAUCAAAAAGUUGUUUAAUCUUCAAGAACUCAAGAACACAAAGAAAAAAUACGGAUAUCAGUUGUAUUUUUUUUUUAAAGAAAAAUACGAUAUAAAUACAGUCAACCAACGUUUUUAACGUUUUAAUGGACGGAAUGGUAGUAUCGUUAACGGAUCAUAACCUGAGUGGUACCGCCUGUAAGUCAAAAACACAAAAUGGUACCAUUCAUAAAAGCCAUACCACAAUGGUACCAUUAAUAAUUUCCCUUCAAAUUUUUGUUGCAUUCAACAGAAACUAUGAGGCAACAGUAUGUGUAAACACUUUCUUGCAGAUCUUAAAGCACAAAAAGAAAUGUGAGAGCGGCAUGUGAGGGCCUAAGGGGAUAUCUAAAAACUUAAAGACUGAUAUUAUCGACAAUUUCUAUAUUAUGAUCACCUCCAGUAUCUCAAGAGCAUCAAUGCUAACGAAAGGGUCUGAAACAUGCAAAGCCCACAUGCCAAGGAUGACAGGAGAGAUAAGUGGCUCAAUCGAUGAGAACUCUGUUGACUCAUGGCCUACAAGAAUGAAAAGAGAGAAAAAAAAGGUAAAUAGCAAGUAAUGGCAAUAAGCUAAUAACUCGUGCAGCAAAAAACUAAGACAAUGAUAUACAAAGAAAGAUUAUAUUAUCCAAUACCGACCUGCCUCCACUCCAGCUUGCAGUGUUUCAAGUACCAGAUGCAUUGUUUCAUCAGAUGCCUAGGAAGCAGAGCAAGAGUUCAACAAUUAUCCCAAACAAUAAGAUGAAAAUGAAUAACAGCUAUAUCAAGGUGCCACACUAACCUGCUUGAGAAGAUCUAUAAGUGAUGAAAAUAGAUUCACAAAAUGAGGCAGAAUAGUUACAAUAUUUGCAUCAGGCAAUAGCUGUGUAAGUGCUCGACAAGCACCUACUUUGACAGGAGGGGGCCUACAAGGAUAGCAUUAACUUAUGAAGACUUGAACGACUUCCAAUCCUACAAAACAUAGUAUUGAGAUAGACACUUACACAUCGAGGCCGAUUGUCUUGAUAGCAGCAUAAAGGAACUGCUCAACAAUAUCAUUAUUGAUCUGGAAAAAUGGGUGGAAGAUUUGAAAAAGUUUCUCAAUACAACUUGAUGGAAGAAUAAUUUAAGAUGCUUACCACAGUUGAGAAGUUAGCAACAGUUGAAAACAUGCGAGCAUAGAGAAAUGGAUAUUCAUGUACCCCUGCAUAGAAAACAAUAAGUACUCCUCAAGGAGUUAACAAUGUGAACAUCUUAGUGGAACCAAAAAGAGCACCUGUUGCCAUGUCCUCUGAAAGUAUUUGCUCUAAGAGGUUCCCUAAAGUGCAUCCCGGAAGCAGAGAAAUCUGUACAGAAUGACAUUCACUAAGAUUUUCAGAGACAACAAAACUUAAUAUACACCCUUCAAAAAGGGGAAAACUACUGUAAACUACGCUACCAAUAUUCAAAAUUGAAGCUCACUAUAUCAUAAAAAUAUUAAUGCUUAUAAAGAUAUUAUCAAUAAAUGUCACACCUCUUGUUCAGACAGUGAAGUCAAAGCCAGAAGAUUUGCCUCUCUCAUCUGAAAAAUACUUUUGGAUGAGACAGAAUAGAAAUAAUUCAUGCUCAUAAAAGAUUGUCUAUGUCAAGUAAUCUAAUACAAAUCCAAGUGAGAGCUAUAUAAACUUACCGUGAACAAAUGAGUCACUACCUUACUCCCCUCCUAUUUAUUAUAUCAAUUUGGUAUCUGUCCAAUUAUAAGCAUUUUUGGGUUUCUAAUUAAAGACCUUUAUUCAAAUUUGGGCUAUGAUAAAGUUUACUCCGCCACUAAGCUUUCAGACUUCAAUUUCUCACCUUGUACACUAUUAAAAUCAUUGAAGACUCAAAGUAAAGAUAUGACUAUGCUACUUCAGUAUUGUGAUUGCUUGUUUUAAGGCACUAUCAACAGCUUGAAUAGAGAAUAAAUCAUGUUGAGAAGUGUCCUUUUAAAGAUUCAGGACACGCCAACAAGUCAACAACAUAACCUAACGUUCAGGUUCUAAGAUGAUGUUUGUAAAAUUAGUUUAAUCUCGGUUCCUUUUGUGGAUAAAGAUGCCUGACGUCAUCAGUAAAAUGCGAAAAGUUUGAAAAAGCUAUUUGGCCCGCAUUAAUGUUCUUAUUUUAUCUUUUAACUUACUCUCCACCAGCCAGAAGAACCAGAAGCCUUCUCCUGUUGAGAUUCAACAAAGCGUUUUCUAGCUGCUUCCACUAUAGCAUGAAUUCCCUCUGUACCACAUGAGCUAAUAAUUUCUUCCAGUAAAAGGGAACCUGCAAAAAAGAUAUAAAAGCAUUAGACAUGUAUAUUUGCCAUAAAAGCAACAGUAACCAUCGGAUAGAGGCAAGAUAUCCUGGUUAUGACAUGCAUCUUACAGUGAGAAAACAAAAAAGGUUUUAUCACUUAUUAGUAAACUAAAAUACUAGCUUCUUUCGUCAAAAAAAAUAAAAAAUACUAGCUUCUGGAGAUACAAUAAAACAUACCACCUUAUCUACUAUGUCUUUCUAGUACUCCAUUAAACCAAAACAAAUCAAACAGGAUUGUGGCCGAACUCAUGUUAACUCUAAUCCCACCUCAAGAUAGCAUUUAAAUAUUAAAAGGAGUUUAUAUCAAACUGGCCGCUCCUUGCACUCAAAUGUCUCACUUGACUUGCUGUUCUCAACCGGAGCUCAUUUAAACCACUUAAUUACUAUACAUAUCACUCCAAUACAUUGCUCGAAAAAUAACUAAAAAUAUGAUAAAAUGGAGGCCAUAUGCUGAUGUGGCACUUCAAGUAUUACUAUUUGACAGAGAAAACAUAAAUAUAACAAUUAAUCUAGAGCACCAAGUGUCAGUUCUGUCACUUUUUCCGUUUUUUUAAGAAAUUUAAUUGAAUAUAUAUGUGGUGAUUUAAGUGGUUUAAACAAGCUCCCAUUGAGAACGGUGAGUUAAGUGAGACAUUAGAGUGCAAUGAGCGGCCAUUUAAUAUAAACCCCAACAUAAAAUAAAAUACCCUCAACUUUUGAUAAAUGCAAAUACAGAUAGUGUAAAAAAGCACUUCAACAACGUAGCCAAAUUCCUUUUUGCUGCAACAUUGUGACCCAUAACCCACAUAAUACUCUGUGAAUGUGAACAAUCAAAGUGAUAUGGACUAAUAGAUAAAGCAUAAACAUGAAAAUGUCAAUGUCACAUAUCAAGAGAUGGGAAAGAUUCGAUAAAUGUCAAAUAAAUUCCAGGACAAAAUAACAUGAAUUGCAUAACCAAAGGAAUCUCAAACGAAGGUAGAACAGAUUUUGAACCGCAGACCUACUUUUGGAAAGAUUAAAGUCAUGCAUUUACUUACCAGAAACACGGCAACUAUAGGUAUUUUCAUCCUCAUCUGCAACAUACUGGUUCGCAUCAAGUGACCAAGUAUGAACCUGGAAAAGGGUAUGACAUUCAUAUGCUUUUAAAUGGCAUACCACAUAUUUGAUGAAAACAGAAAUGAUAUAAACAUAUGAUCUAUACCUGUUGUUCAGUCAUUUGAAGAAAAGCUAUAGUGUAAUACACCAAUUCACUGAUAUUGUUUCCAAGAAUCUAGACAAUAUUUGUCAUUAUAAGUAUUAUUACAUAUAUACGCCUGUAAUGACAAUAUUAGAUAAAAAUCACUUGAGCAAUUACUUCAUUCAGUAGAAAUUCAGAGACAUACCUUUACAAAUCUUGGACUACCCACAAUGGUCAAGAGGAACUCAAAUAACUGCAUGAUAAGGUCCUCAACAGUAUAAGAACAGAACCCUAAGCAAAAAAACAGAAACAAUUGUCGAUUGCUAAUGGCCAAAGCCAUGCCAAAGCCAUGAGUAACGCAACAAAUUUUCUGCGUCAGUGGCAGGAGCAUAUAACCUCCAAGGUUAUUUGAAGAGCUAGAAACGAUAAAAAUUUUCUAAUAUUUUAUGCCUGUAAUCUUAACAAAUUUUAUUCACAGAGGCAACUACACUGACCAAAUAGAAGAUUAAUAUCUUAAAAAAAUCGACCCACCUGAAUAAUGAAUGACUCGAGGCUUUUCUCAGCUCCAUCAGAGUCAUAACGCCCAUCAUAGGAAUCAUCUAAACCUUCAAGUGCUGAUCGUUCAUACACUCUAAGUGAGGACACAAAUGUCUGCCAUAUUGGCCCCAUAAUUCCUGAGACAACAUAUUAUCUCCAGGUAUAAAUUACUCCUAUAGCUAGCAGAAGAUUUUACUCCUAAAUUAAAAAUAUGCUAAAGCCACGAGCUUACCCAUAAAUUGAGAUUCAAUAAGUCCUGGGAAAUUCUGAACAAACUGAUUCAAGCACUUUAAGACCUGAUGUAUACUUAACGUCAGAAUCAUGGUCCUGGUAAAAUUACAUAAAUGAAGCUAUCAGACACAACCUCCAUUCUUAUGCUCCAAUCAUCUGGAUCUUCAGGUUGAACUGGUAUGUCAAGAAUAGAAGAAAACUGAUCCAUCCAAGGUUUAAGCAUCGGUAACAAUAAUGCACUGGUUUCAGCCUACAAGUGUAGAUUAACAAAUUAUAAUUUAUUAAGAAAGAAUAGAUUAAUAUAAACCCGAGAAUUUCUAAACUAAAUAGCAAGAGACAGUACCUUGUAUACGCCACUCAUAACCCCCAGCAUAGAGGUACAAGAAUAAAUAAUUGAAAGUGCCCUCGCACGCAAUUGUUUAUCAUAAACCUGCAUAAGGUAUACAUUCAUGUAUUAAUAAUAAGUAAAAGUAUAAUCUGAUUUCACAAAAUUUUGUUUUUAUAAGCAUUAUAAUGUGCUAUUGUAUUAUUCUACAAUUAUAGUGUUCAUACUCAUUGUUAUCAAUCUAUAUAUCUAGAUAUCAAUAUAUAACAAAAUUGAUGAUUACUUUCAUUUUCUUUAUUUCUGACCACCCUUACUAAAUAUUUCAUUAUAGAUCUUAAUCUACUCAUUAAGAAGCACGAGUAGAAUUUAAACGUAUACUACCUCAGUUACUCUUAUGAUUACAUCACUCCACAAUAUCUUAUAUAAUUUAGUAUCUCCUUACAAAGAUGAUGCAUAAUAGUUACACUUACCACAAACUCACUUUCCCUUCCUAGUCCACUUAUUCAUCUCAUAUUCUCUCUUAAAUCAUUUUAAUCUUCCAAAUAUUAUAUUUGUAAAUGUAUUUUGUUAUUUAUCUCAAUAUUUUCUACAUCAAAAUAUUAAUAGUUAUGAUUCACUACAUCUAAUUAUGAAUUAAUAUUAAAUGGCAUUUUUUGAUUUUUUGAAUAUCAAAGGUAUAAAUAACAAAUAUAUUAAAUUCUUCUCUCUAUCAAUCUCUACAUGUUACAAACCAAAUUAAGGGUAGUCCUUUAUAAGGGCCUCAAAUCCAGUCACUAAACAGAAAAAAUUGCUUUAGUGGACCUACAUAUAAUGAAGAGAUAGAUGCAUAUUAGACUGACCUGAGGAGAUGAUACAAUUGUAUACAAACACGGAAAUAGAACUGGCACUAGUGUGGGGGCAACUGUAUCAUCCAAGUCUGAUGAAAGAAGCGCCAAGCAUCUUAGAGCCCCGUUAACUGUGUAAAGUUAUCAAUAGAGUUUAUAAAUGUUUCAUGGAUAUCAUCACCUUCAUUAUAAUCAUAUGAAGCAACAGCGUGAAAAGACCAGAGUGAAUUUAUAUCAUGAAACCACAUUUUACAACCUAAAGUCAUCAAAUGUAAUAUUCUUAUACCGAGCUAAAUUCUAAUUUUCUUUAAUCCCUACUUGGUUGUUAGUCAAUUAAUAUAAAACAAAACACAAAAUUAAAAUAUCUUUCCUAUUAAUGUUCAACAAUAUCAUAUAACAUCAUACUGUUGAUAUAUGACCAGCCAUGGGAUAAAGCAAGCAGACACAACCUCAUGAUAAGAAGAUAGGCAUCAUGUGAAUAUCUUCGGUUUAUUACUUUAUCGCAUAUAAAGAAACAAUUAAUUAUUUUUCCACAAGAGAUUACAUAUCUUCAACAUCAAAAGGAGUGUGACAUUUAAGAUGGGUCAUCUCCUAACUCCUGUCAAUACCCAAUAGUAUACAGACGAAUCAAAUAAAUUUUAGAUAAAGUGUAGCGCUGCUACAUCAUAAUGAUGAAAAACACAAACAACCAAUUACUCUUGUUUGAUUUAUUUUUUUUUAACUGAAGGAUUGAGUUAUGGUCAUGCUAAAAUGUUUCCUGAACACUUUUACACAUCUAGCAGUACAUUAAGUCAUUCAUAUGGUCCAGAACUGAUGUCAAAACAAACUGCCGAAGAGAGUUCAUAACAUAGACAAAAAAAUAAUCUCAACAAAAAAUAUUAUGAAUUUUUUUAUAAACGGCUACAACAGAUUAUGCGGGACCAACACAAGGAAGAACAAUACAUAUAAUGUAUACUCACGUGAGAGGGAUAAAAUCAGUGUUGUUCAUGGAGAAAAAUCCUAAUAAGCGCAAGACCUAAUUGUAAAGCGUGACUAGCAAAGCACCAUUAAUCGCGCAAUUUUUUGACUUUAAAAAAAAGCAAAAAAAAAAAAAAGAGAAGAUAAUAACAUAUUUUAUCAAGAAUAUAUUACUUAUUAAAUUCGUAACUUCUAAACAUAGCAGAGCAUGUCUAUUAUAAUAAAAAUAUCAAUUGUAAACCAUCAAUCAAUGAUCUUCAACAAUUCAAAAGCUUUGCAGUCAUUUAGCUCAACUUCCGGCCCUUCAAAUUCUCAUUCUUCCUCUUCUCUUCUAUGCUUGUUAUGUACAAUAUUUGGGGAAGAUUUGAAGAUAGAGUUUAUUUUAUUCCCCCCUCCCCCUUUUAAGGGUACUCUUAACCUUGUGCACUUUUAGCGCAAUUAAGCGCAUCUAAGCACAAAGCGCAAUUAAUCGUGCAAUCAAGCGUGCCUUUAACAACACUGGAUAGAGUUAAUGUAUAUAUUGAAGCUUUAUAUUUAAUCAUUAAGUAUUCAUUUUUAAAUAUAUUUGAAGAACUAGCAUGCUUUAUAGUCAAAGGGACACCAGAAUAAUUAAUUUAAUUUGAUUUUUUGAAACAAAAAAUAUUUACAUUAGAUAAAAGAUACCUGCAUUUAAGUUAGUUUGGUCAUUUAUCAACUUCAAGAGGAACGGUAGCAAGUCCGGCCAAUCUUCAGGCCAGUCAUAAUGUGCAACUGAUGCAACAGCCAUACUAAUUGCCGUGCAUAUCUUCUUAUGGUUAUCGUCAAGUGACAGCAGGAGAAGACUUCUUAUGGUUUCCUGUACAAUGAUUUAAACUCAAGGAAAGAAUUUAUGUUUCAUAAAAUAAUAGCUCACCAGCCAAUAGUUUAAGAUAAACAAAUAGAGAGUAGUAAAACUAAAAAAAAUAUCUAGCAAUCAGCACUACCAUGGAUAAUAUUACCUUUUCUUGAAUAGAGACCACUGGAUGUUCGAAAUUUUCCUCAUUCUCCUGCCAAUGUUUUUUAACGAACUGCUUUAAAAGAACUGCAGCUAGGUAUAACAUGUUAAUUCUAACAAGGAACGGAAACGGAACAAAGAACAUUAACCCUACAAGUUUUGUAACAUUCCGGUUAACUAUUUUCUAUAAAACAAAAUGCAACUAACUGAAAUUUGAAAUACAUAAAAAGAUUAAAAUUCUUGUGGCCCUAUGGAGAAUUGGUCAGAAAUCCACAAUAGAGUCCGACCACAAUUAAUUGACAAAAUCACAAAAGGAUAUCUGGCGUGCUCCUAAAGGAAGCUCCCUAUUCCCGGCAAUCCUGCACAAUGCACUCCCAAAACCUUCAAAAGAAACAACAAACCUUAGCUCCAACUCAUACCAUCGGCCAGCUGUUUAGCUAAUCAAGACGAUCUUACUAAAUUAACACGUCCUACAACACCAAUUAGCCUUAAGAAACAUUGUUACAACACAAAUUUGGUAAAGUAAAAUAUACACAACAAGUACUCUACAGUCUUCACACAAACCAUUUAAUCAACAGUCCUCCAAAACUAGUUUAGCAUAAUAAGCGGUCCUCCGAAAUUCAUCAAUUCGUAAACAAUACAACACUAAUUACACCUCAUUAUAUAUCCAAUCUAAAAUAUUAACAAUUAAACCAAUAUGCAGACCACGCGCAGUAAAAUUACUAAACUAACAGUCUCGAGGACACGAGAAUCUUUCUCAAAUGUCUAUGGCUAAAAAUACACUGUGUUAGUUCCAUUGGACCGAUAAUUUCAUCGAAAAACCUGGUUGGACGGAGGCCUGAUUGAGCGACGUCUCAGCGAAAGAUCGAACUUGUUGAUUAGUGUCAAGAGUAGCGUUUAAGCAGUUGAGUAGCCAGUGUUGAUCUUGAUCCACCAUGAUUGACUGAGAGUGUUGGUUUUAGUGUGUGUUUUUAGUGUGUGUUUUGGAGAAAUGUGCGGCAAAUUGGAGGGAGAGUGUUUGUAAUUGGGGGAGUAUAUAUAGAGUUAGGGCUUUUAGAGGGGAUGAUCGGACCGGAUCCCGGUUCCAGUAAUUAGCUUUUUGGCCGUUCCAGUAUGUUCUGGUUUUGUUCGUCUAAACCCGGUUAAAAUAGUGUGGAAAACAAUUUUAAUUAAUAAUUAAUUUGUUGAAUGGAUAUUACUAAUUUAGAAAGAAAAUUUAUUUUGUUAAUUAGAUUUUACUAAUUUAUAAAAUUUGGUGUUCAAUUCUUGUUUGAUUAGUUUAAAGUUUUUUUUAAUCUUGUUUUGUUUACAUUUCAUAUAGUAUUAUAAGAUUUAUUAUAUAUUUGAAUCAUUUUAAGUUAAUAUAGAAUUUUUUUGCGUUAGCCUUGGUCAAGAUUCAAAGCGAUGCUUAACUUAAAUUAAAAAAUAUUUGUUUUUGAUUUAUCAUGGAAUAAAUUGAUGUCAAAACAAUAUUUUUAAAUUAAAAUUUUAUAUUUAUAUUUUUAAAUAAAAUUUAUAUCAUAAUAUAUUAAAUUUAUAUGUUACUCUCUCCGUCCUCUUUUGCAUGCCCAUUUUGAUUUUCAAGAGUCAAAUUGACCCUUUUUUGAUCAAACAUUAUAAAUAAUCUAUUCAUUAUCUUUAAAUAUUAAAGUUGCAUAUUUAUUUCCAAAAAAGUUGCAUAUUAAAAUAGACUAAAUAUAUUUUUUUAUUAUUUUUUAAUUACAUGGUACAUACAAAUUUCAGUUAAUAUAUAGUCAAUUUAGCCGGUCAAAAGUCGAAAUGGACAUGUAAAAGGGAUCGGAGGAAAGAGUAAUUUAAAGUCAAGAUAAAUAUUAUAUAUAAAUUUAAUUUUUUUGUUUAUUGUAAAUUAUAAAUCAUUAUUUUUAAAUUAAAGUAAGUAUAUUAAAAUUAAACAAUAUAUGGAAAGAAAAAACGACUUAUGUCUAACAUUUCCAACUGUUAGGACACUAACUGAAUAAAAUAACAAAAUUUAUCAGCUAAAUUCCAAGUUUGGACUUGUUUAUGGGUAAAAGAAUAGUGGAUCAACAUCUUAAAAUUACUUAAAGCUAUACAUGAAAAAACCAAGUGCCUAAGAAAAUCUGCAGAGUGCCAAACUACAACUCUUGUACUUAAAACUAACACAAUUUCACUCCCACAAGCACUCAAGAGCCUUGCCUAGUUUAUAGUUUCUUGGCAUCUUGGCCUUGAUACGCCACCCUGAUUUUCUCCUCAAAAAGUGUGGAGGAAAAGCAUUUUGCACUGAAGAUUUAGCAUAAAAACUACCCUUAGCUUUAGAAUCAGCAAUCUUAAAUGGCUGAUACGUGUCGUUAGGAUGAAAUGGUCUUGGAUUUACGUCUUUAAUAUGACUGUAGCAACGGCAAGUAGUCAUGUCUUUUUUCUUUGAACAAGCAAUCUUCAUGUUCUGAGGGAAAGGCAGAGCAGUAAGGUAAGGAUUCCAGUCUCUGCACAAUCCGAAGGUUCAUCUUGGAUGACCAAAUAACCUGAAUUUGGACCCUCGGGUAGUACUCUGAGAGAUUCUGGAUUAUUUUUAUAAUGAGAGAAAGGCCUGGUCACAUACAUGGAUACUUUUUUCUAAUAAUCCCUAGUGCUACCUUGAUAAUAUAUAUGUAGUUUGCACAACAGAUCUGUUCUAUUCAAAUUGUUUGAAUAAGUAAAACAAGCUCUAAGAAAAUGAUGUUAUAUUGCUUCUCCUUUUUUUGAUAAUUACUUAACACAAGUCUUGACAAUAUAUAACUGAUCUUCUAAUUUCGUAUUAUCAGUCAAAACCAACAAUUUAUCUUACAUUUUAAAGCAAAAUUGAAUUCUCGACCUUUGGUUAUCAACUAAGAACAAAGUGCAUCGGCUAAAUUAUAAUAGUGACCGUACAGGCACACACAAUGACAGUUUGCUUAGACAGGCCUUGGCCUAUGCAAUUACACUCGUCAGAAAUAUGCUGCCAGUUAUUACCAGUAAUCCCGCGGCUAAAUCCUUUUUGCCUCUUCAACGUGCAAAGACAAUAAAAGAUGUAGUUGCAAAGUGAUUUUUCAUUCUCAAAAGACUUCUUCAUAUGAAUUAUGAGGUUUACUAAUCUAACCUCUAAUAUCUGUAAUUUACUAGGCUCUGUAAAACAAAUCCUGGACACCCUGUGUUUAAAAGAAUCAUAAGGCUCACACUGUGUUUUAGUCUUGAAUGCAACAUUUUUACUUAUUUUAGAUAUGUUAUAUUGUCAUAGCAUUGCAAUUGCAGUUAGAUCCAGACUUUUAACAUGUUACAAACUUUUAACAUGUUAAUAGAAGAGCAGUGGAUCAUUUAGCUAAAAGAACUAAUAAUAUACAAAGCUAAAGAUUGUAUGACACUGCGAAAUCAAGAGAAGGCAAAUUAGUUAACUAGAAAGAUCACAGAGACUUUAACUAUGGCACAUCAGAUAAAGCAACUAACAGAACAUCACUCCCACAGGCACUUGAGUUGUUGCGUAUGCUUGAAAUCAUAAGUCAUAACCAAACUUCCAUUCAUUCUUUUUAACACAAACCUCUCCACCAAAACAUAGCAUCCAAACUUCCUCCAUCCUUCAGCACCUCCUCGAAACUCCUCCACUUUAUGCACCCUCACUUACCUUUCACCUCCACCAACCCAUCCAACCGUUUCUUCCUCCCAUUUCAUUCUUUCUAUAAUCUCUGAACUCAAUCCGAUGCUUACUUCUCUUUUGCUCCCAGAGCCUUUAAACCACUUAGUUUUACAGCUUCUAUCCACCAUUUUCUUUUCAUCCCACACAGCCUUUGUGCCUCCAAUCAUUACAACUUCACUUUGAACAACGGCAUUAACCAUUACAACAAUGCCAUGAUCAAUAUUGCUGCACUCAAAUAUCUGCUCCCAGCUUUGCUCUAGUGUCAUCUCAUAAAACAUUGACUUUUCCAUCUGAUCUCUUGACGUCAACCUUCCAUCCUUAAUGAACAUGAAAGGGCAAUACCAUCUCCCCACCACAACAGCUUCUGAACUCUUACGAGACAGUGGAAAGCUCAUGACAGGAAGGUGUGCACGAAGAGUAGAGUCGACACCUAAAGCCUCGCCUAAUUUAUAGUGUUUUGGAGUUUUAGCACUUAUAUUCCAUCCUCUAGUUCUCAAAAAGGAUGGAGGAAAAGCACCCUGAGCUACAGAUUUCGCAUAAAAACUACCCUUAGUUUCAUAAUUAACAAUCUUGAAUUGCUGAUAUUUGUCGCAAGGAUCAAAUGGUCUUGGCUUUACAUCUUUAACAUGACUGCAGAAACAGCAAGUAGUCAUGUCUUCUUCCGUUGAACAAGCAUAAGCCUUCCUGAAAAAUAAAAGGAGACAAAUCAAACUAUGAGCAAAUAUUAUAUUGACACAACCACACAAGAUCAAUUUUCUUGGUUUAAACACAUACCCUUUAUGCUUCCCAUAUGCAUCAAUCACGUAGUACCGCUUUUUGGACAAUGGUUGAUUAAGAACAGGAAAAAAGGCAAGAUUGUGAUGAUAUGUGUCCUCUCCUGAUGAAUAUCUAGUAGUCAAGUUUUUGUCCUGAGGGAAAGGCAGAUCAUUAAGGUCUGUGUUCUUACACAACCCGAAGCAACUAUACAUCUCAGAUUCUUCAUCUUGUAUUACUAAAUAACCAGAAUUUGGACCCUCAGGAGGCAAUGAAAGAGACUUUGAAUUAUUUAGAUAGUAGGAGAGAGGCCUGGUCACAUACAUUGUUACUCUUUCUACUAAUCUUCAGUUAAGUGCUAGCUGAAAUAGCAUGUAUACAAAAGGUUUGGGUCAAUGAUCAAUACUAGCUGCAACGAAGCAUAAAAUAGACCUUAAUCUUAUUCGAAGAUGUUUCUUUUCAAUGAUAUUUAAUUUUGCACACUUGACAUUAGAAUCAAGAAGAUUUAUUCAAAUCUCAUUGCAUAAAGUCUUGAAAACCUACCCAGUGAUUCUUUUCUAUGCUUAAUUAUAUGUUAGGUAUCUUGUUUUUUUUUAGUAAUUUAGCAGAAGACUACUUGGAUGCUUCCUUUAAGUUGACUAUUUUAAUUUCCUCCAGUUUGUAGAUAAAUGCAAGAUGGAGUAAUUUCUGAAACAGUAUCAACCAGAAGACUUCUGGGAAAACCGGUGACUUUCUUUUCUGUAAAAUGUAAGGUCUAUUUUUUUUUUGCAUUACUGAUCUCACUUUAACAUAGAUAAUAUAAAAAGGAUCACUAGUGAUUGUUGUAUCAAUCUGUCAGUGGUUUUUUAUAGCUGAAAGACAUUACACUUGAUUUUUUAUGUGAAUGCAGGGGCCACAACACCCUAUCCGCCGUUUAAACACCCAUUUUAGGAAUUUUCUCUUUAAGCUAUAAAAAGGCUGGAUGGAUUGUUGUUAAUGAUCAAUUGAUAGGAACCAUCUCCGUUGUAAAUAUAAAUUUAAAUGACUCGUUAUUUUUUUAAUUGAAAGUCAGACAGACCUGUAGCAAUUUUUUUCCAAAAUCAGGUUGUUGAUUACAAAAUAUCAGCAGGUUCAAGCUUAUCAUGCAUCCUAAUGAGUCGGGUACCAAUCCAUUCAAGAUUGCAGAGUCCUUUGAAGGGGUAUACUGAUUGUGGUUCGCUGCAUUUGGUGGAUAAAAAUAUCACAACACGCCGUUUGUGAAGUUCACAACCACACUCGAAUGGUAACUGGCAUUUUGACUUGCUAAUACUGCUAUUUGAUAGAUCAAAUAUCUUACAAAUUGCUUAAUGCAGUAUUGGUGCUUUAAUGCAAUUUGUGAACUAAGAAUUUUUUAGCUCGGUUUGGAAUACCCCGCAUCGACAGUAUUCAAAAUUCAUGACCUAAGAUUUGUAAUUGUAAGUGUAACUACAGUUUCAUGAAGUAGAAGGCCUUCUUCUAAUUCUCACACAGAUUGGUAUAUACAGUAACCCGAAAACUCCCAGUACAUUUGCUCAUACAAAGAGGCAACCUCACCUGACAACCUUAAGUAUGACUUGUAAAGUGAAAGCAGAUUAUCCAAAAUUCAUGACCUAAGAUUUGCAAUCAAGAACAGUAUAAGUUGAAAAGUAAUCUUACAAGUGAAUUUUUUACUCUGCAUGUAAUACAUAAAUUUACUUCACAAUGAACUAAAGAAAUAACGAACAAGCCAGUUAGUUAAAUUCACUCCCACAAGCACUUGAUUUGAUGAGUAUGCUUGAAAUUAUAAGUCAUAACAACACUUCCAUCCAUUCUUUUCAGCACAAAGCUCUCCACCAAAACAAAGCAUCCAAACUUUCUCCAUCCUUCGGCACCUCUUUCAAACUCCUCCACUCUAUCAACCCUCGUCAUUCUAUCAUCACCGCCAAACCAUCCAACUCUUUCCUCCUCCCAUUUCAUUCUCUCAACAAUCUCCAAACUCAAACCUACACUCACUUCUUCUCCAUCAAUUCCAAAACUCUUGAACCACAUCGUGUAAUCAACCACAUUGUUCUCAUCCCACACAGCCUCCUUGCCUCCAACCCAUACAACUUCUCUUUGAACAACUGCAUUAACCAUUACAAUGUUGCCAUGAUCAAUACCAUCACGCUCAAAUAUCUGUUCCCAUCUUUGCUCAAGGGUCAUCUCGUAAAACACUGAAUUUGCCAUCUGAUCUCUUGACGUUAGCAUGUCAUCUUUAAUGAACAUGAAAGGGCAAUACCAUUUUCCUAUCACAACCACUUGUGAACUCUGGUGGGGCAGUGGAAAGUUUAAGUCAGGAAGGCGAGCACGAAGAGUAGAGUCAAGCCCUAGAGCCUCACCUAGUGUGUAGCUUCUUAGAGUAUGGGAUUCAACUUCCCAUCCCUUCCUCCUUAAAAAGUAAGGAGGCAAAGCACCAUGAGCCACAGAUUUGGCCAAAAAACCCCCAUUUUUGUAAUUAGCAAUCUCAAAUUGCUGAUAUGUGUCACGAGGAUCAAAUGGUCUUGGCUUUACAUCUUCAACUUCAUCACAGCAACAAGUAUUCAUCAUGUCUUCUUCUGUGGAACAAGCAUAAGCCUUCCUGUGAAAAAAAUAUAUAAAUAUUAGCUGACAAGAUGUAAGAGCUUACAUCUAAGAAAACACUUAAUCUACGUAACUAAAGGAAUAAUGCUUACCCUUUAUGCUUUCCAUGUGACUCGAUCACGUAGUACAGGUUGCUGGACAAUGGCUGGUUAAUAACAGGAAAAAAGAUAACAUCUUGGUAAUGUCUAUGCUUUCCUGAAGAAUAUGUAGUAGUUAAGUUCUUGUUCUGAGGGAAAGGCAGAUCAAUAAAUUUUCGGUCCUUAGACAUUCCAAAACAACUAUAAGUCACAGAGUCUUCAUCUUCAAGGACUACAUAGCCAGAAUUCGGACCAUCAGGAGGUAAUGACCAAGACUCUGGAUUACUUCUAUAGUAAGAGAGAGGUCUCGUUACAUGCAUGGUUACUCUUUUCUUGUUGUAAUUCUCAGUUUGGUGCUACCAGAGAUGGCAUUUAUAUAGAUUGCUCAUACAUUUAAUUUAGUUUCCUUAAACAACUACACAACAUGCUCUUCUUGGAAUGUUUUAGCAGAAGACUUACUCGGAUGGUUCCCUUUGGUUGACAUUUUAAUUUGCUUGAUUAGUAUCUUACAUGCAUGAUACUCCACUAGACAAGCUAUAAGACUUUCUGGAAUGAUUUGAUUCGAUUUACACAUAAGUUCUACUCCAAAUAUAUAUAUAUAUAUAUAUAUAUAUAUAUAUAUAUAUAUAUAUAUAUAUAUAUAUGUGUNAUUUUGGAGUCAUUAGAGACUACAAGAUCUGCCGUUAAAUAAUAUGGCAAUUAAUGGACAUGAUUAAAUAUUCUUUGUCCUGCAUUUCUUAUCCUGCAUUUCUAAUUUUGUAAUAUUAAUAAUUUACACUAUUCUUGUCCUGCAUUUCUAGUAAUGUAUUAUUUAUAUUCUUGUCCUGCAUUACUUGUUUUUAGUUUUAAUUCAAAACUAUGUUUGUAAUUUACACUAUUCUUGUCCUGCAUUUCUAGUAAUGUAAUAUUAACAAUUUGUCCCGCAUAUUUGUGAUAUAUCUAAGUGUUAUUUUGUCUUGCAACAAAUUCAAUUCGUUGCAGGAUAAUGACAAUGAGUUCAGUGCCAAUCAUAGCAGUGUCCAACUACAUCUUUGUUUUGUAUGCAAUUAUUAUUUUUAUUUGUUAGGAUUUCGGUGAUUGAACAUCAAUAUUAUGGAAUUAUUAUUUUAUGUUAUGCAAGAUUUAGAAGUACUGCUUGUUGUUCACCGAUUUAGAAGUGCAGGACAGGAUAGGGAGAGAAAACAAAUGUGCAGGACAAAAAAUAUGCAGUCGUUGGAUGUUUAAUGAUUGGAUGGCCAGGAUUAGGUAUCUACAGUCUCCAAAUAAUCCAGUCUACAUAGAACUUUCUUAUAUAUAUAUAUACAUAUAUUGGCCCUGUUCCACAACCAAAGGUGGAUAACUAGUUAAUUUUGUCCAACUGAUCUAUAACCAUCCAUUAAGUAGGCAACGGCUAGGAUUAAAAAGUACUAAGCUACAUAAUAUAGCGUUUACGCUAUAUGAUAUAACGUAAGAACAGUAAAAAAUGAGUACCCAGCGUGGGGAGAAGCGGAGUCACAAGUCUUAAGAAUCCUUUGAGAAUGCAGCGUCACAAGCCUUAAUAAUCUCAAAAGCGAGCUUCAAAAAAUGUGUCCCAAGUGUUCCGGUAUAAACAGUAAAGUCCUGCACAUUAAAGUCCUGCACAUCUUGCCUGAUAAAUCCCCAGGAGGUCUUUUUUAUAUUUGAAAUUUUUUUUAUUUAAAAUAAUGUAUAUUUUAAAUUAUUAUAAAAUUAUGCACAAUAAUUACACAUAUCACUAAAAAAUUUAAAAUCAAUUAAUUUAUUUAAUUCUCAUUUUUUAAGUUAAUCUUAUUUAUAUUUAUUAAUAUUUCAUGUUAUAUAUAUUAUUUGUUUAAAGUACAAUAAUUCAUAUUUGUUUUUAGAUAUUUUGUUUUUUUAUAUUAGCAAACAAAAUAAUAUUAAAUUCUUGUAACUAUUUUAUCUAUUUUAAUUUAUAUAUCCACUUUUUUAAAAUUAAUAUUAUUUUCAAUUCAACUUUCAAAAAAUUUAAUUUAAGAUAUUCCAUUACUUAAAUGAUCAGUAAUAUAUUUAUACUUUCUAUUUUCAAAAUCAGUUAUAUAUGAUAUAUCAUAUUUAUACUCUGUUAACUUAAUUGCACAACGCAUUCUAAUCUAAAUCCAAGAAAAACAAAUUUACGUGCACAUGCAUGCAUUAUGCGCACGCACGUCACACUAAAAUUUAUAUUAUUUAGACACGGUGCAAUCGAAUGGAGGGAUUUGAUGAUGCAUGUGUGAGCAGCGAAGAAGUAAACACCGCAGAAGAGUCCGAGGGAAAAUAGGGCGUAUACGCUCUAUUAUAUGACGUAAGUCUAGUUCAUCUUGCCAUUGGUUGCGUUUUCGGACGGUUACAGAUGGGUUGGUUGUAUAAGUUAAUUUCACCAACUGUGGUUGGUGAACGGUUUCCAUAUAUAUAUAUAUAUAUAUAUAUAUAUAUAUAUAUAUAUAUAUGAAAGUUUUAUGUGAACCAGCUGCUGACUUCUUUGUUCUUUGUAAAGAAUUGGGCAUGUUGGCUCGUUCAAAGUAGACUCUUGAUUAAAUUUCAGAAAUUUUGUAGAGUCCGAAGUGAAUCUUGACCUGCACCGCACAGAUAGACAAUCAUGUGACUGGUAAGGUUGCUCAUCUGAUUCAACUGAAUAGAUAGACUAUCAUGUGCACUGGUAAGAUUGCUCCUUUGAUUCAACUGAGUAGAUUAUCUGUACAUAGUUACAGAAAAUACAUAACACAAUACAUCUCAGAUUCUUCGUCUUGAAUGACUAUAUAACCUGAAUUUGGACACUCUGGAGGUAACGAAAGAGAUUCUGGAUUCCUACUAUACUGAGAGAGAGGCCUGGUCACAUACAUUGUUUUCUUUUUUAGUAAUUCGUAGUUAAGUGCUACCCCAGACAGCAUAAAUAUGUUGUUUGUACAAGAAGAUUACUUCAAAUCAGAUAACUUGUACACGUUAAAACAAGCUAUUCAUUUUAAUAUUAAUUUUUUGUUUGCUGAAAGUGAUUAUGAGAUAUUAAUACUAUGUAACAUUCAUCUAUAUGACUCACAUUCAUCUUUAUUUUUAUUUUUCCAGCAUAUCUUCUGUAUGAGAUAUAUAACAGUCCCUUGUACAUCACACAUGAUCAUUAGAACAGAAAUUAUAAAACUGAAUUAUGCAAAGUACUUGUUGAUGUUUCCUGUAACUAGUUUAAAACCCGUGCAAGGCAUCGACCUCAGUAUCACACAUAGUAAAGAAUUUAUCCAUAACUUUAAACAUCCUUGGAUUUAAUUAAGCUUUGAUUAAACAGGUGCACAGACAAACAAACUACAAUUUAAUAGAAUGCAAAGAUAGAUAUUAUUAUGAAACAAUGAAAUUGAAAAUAUAUAAGAUUUACAUAACACAACUAAAUUAAUAAGGCUUAAUGACCUUUUAGCCCUCGAAGUAUGGGUGGAAGUUCCGAUGCGGUCUCGAAGUUUAAAAACGUACCUUUCAACCCUCAAAGUAUCUUUGUCGUACCUUUUAGCCCUUAUGGCGUAUACCGGAAUAUAACGGGGUGGACAAAGUUGACAUUUCACACGUGAGGGUUAAAAGGGGCAUUAAACAUUAAGGGUUAAAAAGAACAUCUAAUGUAUUUUAAUGUAUUCUUUAGGGGUUAAAAAGAAUGAGAUGUAUACUUUAAGGGUUAAAAGGUACGCCCAAACUUCACCCCGAAUAUGAAUUGUCAAGUUUAUCCCCCGAUUUAUACCGGUAUUUUUAAAAAGGACUAAAAGGUACGAUAAAGAUAAUUUGAGGGUCGAAAGGUACGUUUUUAAACUUCGAGGCCGCAUCGGAACUUCCACCCAUACUUCGAGGGCUAAAAGGCCACUAAGCCAAUUAAUAAAUGACAAACAAACCAGUCUUUAGAAAGGAUCAGUUAGACUUUAACUCUUGAAUAUUGAAAUGAAGAAACUAAAAAAAUUUCACAUCCAAAGGCACUUGAGUUGCUGAGUGUGCUUGAAAUCAUAAGUCAUGACCACACUUCCGUCCAUUCUUUUCAACACGAAACUCUCCACCAAAACAUAGCAGCCAAACUUCCUCCAUCCUUCGACACUUCCUCCAAACUCCUCAACUCUUUUAACUCUCACUUCCCUUUCCCCUCCAUCAACCCAUCCAGCCCUUUCUUCCUCCCAUUUCAUUCUUUCGAAUAUCUGUGAACUCAAUCCUAUGCUCACUUCUUCUCCUUUACUCCCAGAACUCUUAAAUUCUAUAAUAUUGUGAACCACAUUCUUCUUAUCUGGCUCUCCCUCCCUGUCUCCAACAAAUAUAACUUCUCUUUGAACAACCGCGUCAACCAUUACAACAUUGCCAUGAUUCAUAUUGUUGCACUCAAAUAUCUGUUCCCAUCUUUGCUCAAGUGUCAUCUCAUAAAACAUUGAAUUUGUCAUUUGAUCUCUUGAAGUUAACGCUAGCUCCAUCUUUAAUGAACAUGAAAGGGCAAUACCAUUUCCCUAUCACAACAGCUUUUGAACUCAAGUCAGGAAGACAUGCACGGAGACUAGAGUUGAGCCCUAGAGCCUCGCCUAGAGUGUAGUUUUUUGGAGUCUUGGUGUUAAUUUUCCAUCCUUUUCUCCUCAAAAAGUGUGGAGGGAAAGAAUCCUGAGCUACAGACUUGGCAUAAAAUCCACCCCCUUCAUUGCAUGCAGUUUCAUAAUUAGCAAUCUCAAAUUGCUGGUGUGUGUCAGAGGGAUCAAAUGGUCUUGGCUUUACAUCACUAACACUACUGCAGAAACAGCAAGUAGUCAUGUCUUCUUCCUUCGAAGAAGCAUAUGCCUUCCUGGAAAUAGAAUCAAAUGGAUCAACACAUUAGCAAAUACUUAUUGUAUAUAACUUUAAAAAUAAUGUUAACUAUAAUAAAUUUCAAUUUUCAUGAUUUAGAACAUACCCUUUGUGCUUUCCAUGUGGCUUGAUCGCGUAGUACCGGUUACUUGACAAUGGUUGAUUAAGAACAGGAAAAAAAGUUACAUCAUGGUAAGAAGUAUGUUGUUCUUGUCUAUGGUGGGUGCCUGUAUAUCUAGUUGUCAGGUUCUUGUUUUGAGGGAAAGGCAAAUCAACAAGGUCCCGGUCUUUCCACAAUCCGAAGCAGCAGAAAAUCUCAGAUUCUUCGUCUUGGAUUACCAAAUAACCUGAAUUUGGACCCUCAGGAGGUAAUGAGAGAUCUUCUGGAUUAUUCAGAUAAUGAGAGAGAGGCCUGGUUACGUACAUGGUUGCUCUUUUCUUGAAGCAAGUCUCAGUUUUGUGUACAGAUUUUUUAGAACAAGAAGAUUAAAUUAGCUUUAUUUGCUGCAACAACACCAGUUACCCUUUUCUAUGGUAAAUUGAAUGCCAGUUGUUGUAUUUUAAGUGUUUAGCAAAGACUUGCUUGGAUGGUUCCUUUAGGUUGACAUUUUUGUUUGCUCAGCUCUGUAAACUACAUGCUCUCCGCUAUACAAGCUAAAGACUUUCUGGCCUCAUUGCUCAGAUAAAUGAUGACCGGAGAUUGCUUGCUUCUAUACAUCUUAACCUAGUUAUUCUCUUUGAUGUUGACUAAUGGCAUUUUAACAGAUUUUUUUUAUAAAAAAAAUCUUGACUAGUUCAAUAUUACUUAGCAUUGCCAUUUCACAGCUCAAUCAAAUAUUGCAUAAACUUUUAGAAGUCUUUAUGCUGAAUCAAGUGGCUGCUAAUGCUGGCUGUCAUGAAUACAUUCAAAUUAGAAUCUUAAGAACUUAAUACCGAUGAAGUUCUGUCAGGUCUCAGAUUCAAGUUCCAUACAUACGUCAAAAACUGCAUAUCAAUUGUCGAUACAGAUUUUUUUUAUAUUUUUAUAAAAAGUUAUUCCACCUUAUAUUAGGCGGAGAAUCUACCAUACAUAUUCGAAAGCACUAGCUCUCCAUAAAAUUUGGGCUAGUCGUUUGAUGAGGUUGUGAGAACAAGGGAAUGCUUUCUUCUCAUCCAAUCUCUCUACCUUGUACAUGUCGUUUCAUUCAAGUUUUUUCAUCAUUAAAAGUGAAUAUCCUUCGUUAUUCGUUAACAAAUUUAGGGGUGCAUACUGUCAAAAAAAAUUGUUUGAGACCAAAUCGAAAAAGCGCCUAAAUAUAAGGGGUGCAAAGUGGCAAUCACUCAAAUAUAUAUGAUAAAGUGCUUUGACGAUGAGAGACCUUUCGGAUAUUAUUCCUCGGCAUUAACAUCAAAACAAGAAUUACUUAAUUUCAUUAAUUCACCAUUAACCAAUGCACAUAUAUAAAGGGUCACAAACAGAUUGUCUGAUUAUUAAAUAAGAGAAUGUCUGAUCAUCAAAUAAGAGAGCAAUUACUUGGAGACCUAUGGAACAAGGCUACUGCAUCAGGGUCUGUGAAGGUUUCUGAUGUAUGCACAUAGAGGCUAACAGUCUUGUAACACUAGAGAACAGGAUAGAAACUACAUAUAUCAAUAAUAGCAGGUCAGUUAGCAUCAAUUCAUUCUCAAACAAAGUAAUUUGUGUAUUUUUUUGCGAGUCUGCAGAAUACUCUAUUUUCGGGUAUGCUAAUCAAACCACUAAAAAGUAGUGUACAGUGAAAUAUUAGAAGAUGCUGGUGCAUUGGAGUAUCCUCAUCGAAGGAUGAGGAUGACCUCAAGAUUUCCUUUUUUGAUACAUAAAACCAAGACUGAAAUGAAAAUCUCUCUUUACAAAACAUAACUAACAGAUAACACACUGUCUUAUAUAAAAAAAAAAGAAAGAAAGAUAACACAAGAAAUAAAGAACAGGCAAACGUAAUUCACUCCCACAGGCACUUGAGUUGAUGAGUAUGCUUAAAUUCACGAGUCAUUACCACACUUCCAUCCAUUCUCUUCAACAGAAACCUCUCCACCAAGACAAAGCAUCGCAACUUCCUCCAUCCUUCGACGCUUCCUCCAAACUCCUCCACUCUAUUAACCCUCAUCACUCUUUCAUCUCCACCAACCCAUCCAGCUCUUUCUUCCUCCCAUUUCAUUCUUUCAACAAUUUCCACACUCAAUCCUACACUAACUUCUUCUCCAUUAGUCCCAAAACUCAUAAACCAUAUAGCAUUAUCAACCACAUUCUUCUCAUCCCACACAGCUUCCCUGCCUCCAACCAAUACAACUUCUCUUUGAACAACUGCAUCAACUAUUACAACAUUGCCAUGAUCAAUCAUCUCGCGUUCAAAUAUCUGCUCCCAUCUUUUGUCAAGUGUCAUCUCAUAAAACAUUGAGUCUGCCAUCUGAUCUCUUGACGUCAACCUUCCCUCUUUAAUGAACAUGAAAGGGCAAUACCAUUUCCCCACCACUACAGCUUCUGAACUCUUCGAGGACAGUGGAAAGUUCAAGCCAGGAAGGAGUGCACGAAGAGUAGAAUCAGUCCCCAGAGCCUCACCUAGUGUGUAGUUUCUUGGGGUUUUAGUCUGGAUUUCCCAACCUUUUCUCCUUAGAAAGUGAGGAGGGAAAGCAUCCCGAGCCACAGAUUUGGCAUAGAAACUACCCCCUUGAUCGCAUACGGUUUCAUAAUUAGCAAUCUCAAAUUGCUGAUAUAUGUCAUGAGAGUCAAAUGGUCUUGGCUUUACAUCUUUAACUACAUCAGCGAAACAGCAAGUAAUCAUGUCUUCUUCCGUUGAACAAGCAUAUGCCUUCCUGGAAAUAGAAGCAACAGAUCAACAAAUGAUCGUACAUCUGAUUAGCAACUAAAUAAACAGAGCAUAAAUAUCUUGAUUUUAACACUUACCCCUUAUGUUUUCCAUGUGGCUCAAUCGCGUAGUACCGGUUACUGGACAAAGGUUGAUUAAGAACAGGAAAAAAGGUAACGUCAUGGUGAGAAGUAUGUUUGUUUUUUCCGGUACCUGAUGAAUAUCUAGUAGUCAAGUUUUUGUUCUGUGGAAAAGGCAGAUCAAUAAGUUCCCGGUUUUUGCACAAUCCAAAGCAAUAGUAAAUCUCAGAUUCUUCAUCUUGGAUUACAAGAUAACCUGAAUUUGGACCUUGGGGUGGUAUCGAGAGAUAUUCUGGAUAAUUUAUGUAUUGAGAGAGACGCCUAGUCACAUACAUGGUUACUCCUAGCUUUCUAGUAAUUCUGUUCUGCAGAGUUCUACCAGAAAUAUCACAUGUCUAUAUAUAAUUUUUUAGAGAAGAUUUUUCAAUUCAGAUUGCUUGGACAAGUAUAACAAGUAAAUCAUUUCUAUGUUAAAUUAUUUACUUGGUAUACUAUGUCUCUAUCAAAUAAACCAAAAUAUGCGACUCGUUCAUUGAAAAACAAAUGCUGAGAUAUUAUUUUGAAAUAUCAACAGAAGACUUUGUGAUGUAGCUUUAAAUAUUCUGAUAUUGUUAGAUAUUUUAGCUAGAAGAAGAUUCCUUGGAAGAUAAGGCUCCAAAGAAAGAUCAAUUACGCUAUCUCUUAUAUAUCAAAUGAGAAACCUGAUAGAAUUUAAUCCAACAGGCAUGCACCUGAUUUGAUGAGUAUGCUUGAAAUCAUAACUCUUAACCACACUGACCCAUCCGACUCUUUCUUCCUCCCAUUUCAUUCUCUCGACGAUCUCUAAACUGAAUCCUACACUUACUUCUUCUCCUCUGCUCCCAUAAGUCGUAAACAUUAUAGUGUUAUCCACCACAUUCUUCUCAUCCCAUGCAGCCUCCCUGCCUUCAACCAAUACAACUUCUAUUUGAACAACUGCCUCAACCAUUAUGACAUUGUCAUGAUCAUUAUUGUAUGUAUUUGAAUUUCAAGGGGAAUUCAGUUGAACUGUCGUGUAUCUUUUAGGUCUGAUUUGGGUGACAACGUUCUAUGCUAGUUGAAGCACUGCAGAACACAAUGUUCUGCAGUACAUGAAGAAGAACUUGCAGUCCAAGUUAGUACAAACCCAUGUAAAACAAACACAGUCAUUUUACAACAUUUAUACAGUACAACUAAAACACUUUUAAACACAUAAAGGCUCCAAAGUCCCCUGAUAAAUAUUUGCUGUAACAUACCAAGCCACUGUAAAUUGGUUCGUCUGUAUAAAGCCGGUUCCUCCUACAAUCACGUCAGGAACUAAAAUUUACAGCGCAGCUUGUAAUGUUACAGCAAACACUUGUUAGGAACAUGAACUAUCAAAUAUACAGCAAACAAGGGAGUGCUUGAGCUAAAUCAAACAAGGAAAAACACGAAUAAAUUUAUUCCCACGUGCAGUUGAGUUCAUGAGUGUGCUUAAAAUCAUAAGUCAUAACUAAACUUCCAUCGGUUCUCUUCAACACAAACCUCUCCACCAAGACAUAGCAUCUUAAUUUCCUCCAUCCUUCAGCACCUCCUCCAAACUCCUCCACUUUAUCAACUGUCACCACCCUUUCAUCUCCACAAAGCCAUCCACCUCUUUCUUCCUCCCAUUUCAUCCUCUCAACAAUCUCUAACCUCAAUCCUACACUUACUUCUUCUCCUGUGGUCCCAAAACUCGUAAACCUUAUAGUUUUAUCAACCACAUUCUUCUCAUCCCACACAGCCUCCCUGUCUCCAACCAAUACAACUUCUCUCUGAACGACUGCAUCAACCAUUACAACAUUGCUGUGAUCAUUAUUGUUGCACUCAAAUAUCUGUUCCCAUCUUUGCUCAAGUGUCAUCUCAUAAAAUCUUGAAUUUUCCAUCUGAUCCCUUGCUGUCAACGUACCAUCUCUGAUGAACAUGAAUGGACAGUACCACUUACCUAUCACAACAGCUUCUGAACUCAUACGAGACAGUGGAAAGCUUAAAUCAGGAAGGCGUCCAGGAAGAGCAGUGUCAAGCCCUAAAGCCUCACCUAAUAUAUACUUUGUGGAACUGGAAUUUUUAGUUUGAACAGUCCAUCCUCCCCUCCUCAAUAACCAUGGAGGGACACCAUUAUGAGCCACAGAUUUGGCAUAGAAACUACCCUCGGAUGCAUCAUCAACAAUUUCAAAUUGCUGAUAUAUGUUAUCAGGAUCUAAUGGUCGUGGCUCUACAUCAGCACCAUGUCUGCAGAAACAACAAGUAAACACAUCUUCUUCCUUUGAACAACAAUAUGCCUUCCUGAAAAUAAAAGAACACGGAUCAACACAUGACAAAAUCAAUAUCUGAUCAACAUGACUAAGAUCAAUUUUAUUGAUUUCAAUACCUACCCUUUAUCCCUUUUAUGAGUAUUAAUCACAUAAUACUGGUUUGUGGACAAUGGUUGAUUGAGAACAGGAAAAAAGGCAUAAUGUGCGUGGUAUGUAUUCUCGCCUGAAUGAUACUUAGUGGUCAAGUUGAUGUUCUGAGGGAAAGGCAGACGAUUAUAGCCCUGACUCAAUAUGAAGCAAGUAACAAUUUCCUCAGGCUCUAUAUCUUGGAUGACCAAAUAACCUGAAUUUGGACCAUCAGGAGGUAAUGAAAGAAACUCAGGAUAACUUCUAUAGUGAGAGAUAGGCCUGGUCAUGUACAUAGUUGCUCUUUUCUAGCUAGUAGUAUUUCACAUUAGAGUGUUACCUAAGAUACUAACAUAUAUACAGAUUGGCUGAAGAAGAUUUAUUCAAUAUAUAUUGCUCACAACUACAUGAAGACAAUUACUCGAUCUAUCAUGAAUUAAAUGUCAGGCCGGCUCAUUCCUAUAGGCUGUGUGUUGCUGUAACUUGUAUUUGUUUCCUAAGUUCUCUCCUAAUUACUAAUUACUUGGAUGUUGGAUGGUUCCCUCUGGCUUUGGCUGAAUAUAUCAUAUUAUAUUUGCAUGUCCUAAUUAGCUCAGCUUUGUAAAUAGUAACAAUGUAAGUGCAACAUUAUAGAUUUUUCCUCAGUGGCUACGACAUUUUUGGAACUCUGCAAUACUUCAGAAUGAAAAAGACACACACACGAACCAAAAGAGGCAUAAAAAAAUAUUAGUCACUAGGACAUUAGUCGAAGGAUCAUGAGAAGAGAUUAGUUGACUAGGAUAGUGAGAAUAGGACAGUGAGAAUAUGAUCAUGAGAAGAGAUUAGUCGACUAGGACAGUGAAUUCAACUUUACGAAUAGGACAGUGAGCAUGAAUUUAGUCGAAGGAUCAUGAGAAGAGAUUAGUCGACUAGGACAUUGAGAGUUUGGAUGGUUCCUUUUGGAGUUUUGGUUGAAUAUAUGUUUGUCCUAAUCCGAGAGGCUUGUAUCGCUGGAAGUUGAAUAUACAUUUGGCUCUUUCAAAAACAAACAAUGAGGUUGCCAGUUUGCUAAGGUCCAUGAUACAACUGUACAGUGGUCAUUCAGACAGACCAACUUCUCAACAUACAGGACAAGAUUACAUUUUGAGUAAUAUACAAACUGCAGAGGCUAUGAAUGAAGAACGCAGACUUGAUAUAUAAAUUCACUUGGGCAAGAAAACAAAAAUAGCUACAUAAUUUUCAAGAAAAACGAGAUACAAUGAAGAUAUAUCAGACAAAAGAUGAUAAAAAUUUAAUGAAAAUUACAAAUUUGUGAUUUUAUACUGGAAAAUUUACACUCACAACACGAUGAAUCAAACCUGUUAACUAAUUUUAAAGUCCCCGAAAUCUAUGUAGAUUUUUUUUUGUUAAGUUAGUUAUUAUCGGCUAAAACUGACUUUGAGCGUAGAAUCAUAGAGGAUGCACAAUCUCAGCAUAUAAGGAAAACGUUAUUCUUGUACUCACUAUAAACUAUAACAGGUUCUAUAAGCACACCAGCAGUACUUCUUUAAUUAAACAAUAAUAUUACAACCAAACAUUUCCAUAUAAAAUUACAAAUUUUUGAAGAAACUAACAGAAUUCAUUCCCAGAAGCACUUAGUUGAUGAGUUUAAGUGCUGGAAAUCAAAAUAUCUGACCAAACUUAAGUUCACACAAGCCUCACAACUAGAACAUAGCAUCCGAACUUCUUCACUAUAUUUUAAACGGCAAACAAUCCAGUGCCAAAGAAAGAACACAUCAGUGACGGACAUAAUUUAGUACCACAAGCACUUGAUCUGAUGACAAUGCUUAAAAUCACAAGUCAUAACCAAACUUCCGUCCAUCCUUUUCAAUACAAAGCUCUCCACCAAUACAUAGCAUCCAAACUUCUUCCACCCUUCAGCACCUCCUCCAAACUCUUCAACUCUAUUAACCCUCACUUUUCCUUCAUCUCCACCAACCCAUCCGACUCUUUCUUCCUCCCAUUUCAUUCUCUCAACAAUCUCCAAACUCAAUCCCACACUUACCUCUUUUUCACCUUGGCUCCUGAAACUCUUAAACCGUACAGUGUUAUCAACCACAUUCAUUUUAUUCCACACAGCCUCUCUUCCUCCAACCAAUACAAUCUCUGUUUGAACAACUGCAUCAACCAUUGCAACUUUGCCAUCAUCAAUAUUGUCGCGCUCAAAUAUCUGAUCCCAUCUUUGCUCAAGUGUCAUCUCAUAAAACAUUGAAUUUUCCAUCUGAUCUCUUGAUGUUGAUGUUCCAUCUUUUAUGAACAUGAAAGGGGAAUACCAUUUCCCUACNNNNNNNNNNNNNNNNNNNNNNNNNNNNNNNNNNNNNNNNNNNNNNNNNNNNNNNNNNNNNNNNNNNNNNNNNNNNNNNNNNNNNNNNNNNNNNNNNNNNNNNNNNNNNNNNNNNNNNNNNNNNNNNNNNNNNNNNNNNNNNNNNNNNNNNNNNNNNNNNNNNNNNNNNNNNNNNNNNNNNNNNNNNNNNNNNNNNNNNNNNNNNNNNNNNNNNNNNNNNNNNNNNNNNNNNNNNNNNNNNNNNNNNNNNNNNNNNNNNNNNNNNNNNNNNNNNNNNNNNNNNNNNNNNNNNNNNNNNNNNNNNNNNNNNNNNNNNNNNNNNNNNNNNNNNNNNNNNNNNNNNNNNNNNNNNNNNNNNNNNNNNNNNNNNNNNNNNNNNNNNNNNNNNNNNNNNNNNNNNNNNNNNNNNNNNNNNNNNNNNNNNNNNNNNNNNNNNNNNNNNNNNNNNNNNNNNNNNNNNNNNNNNNNNNNNNNNNNNNNNNNNNNNNNNNNNNNNNNNNNNNNNNNNNNNNNNNNNNNNNNNNNNNNNNNNNNNNNNNNNNNNNNNNNNNNNNNNNNNNNNNNNNNNNNNNNNNNNNNNNNNNNNNNNNNNNNNNNNNNNNNNNNNNNNNNNNNNNNNNNNNNNNNNNNNNNNNNNNNNNNNNNNNNNNNNNNNNNNNNNNNNNNNNNNNNNNNNNNNNNNNNNNNNNNNNNNNNNNNNNNNNNNNNNNNNNNNNNNNNNNNNNNNNNNNNNNNNNNNNNNNNNNNNNNNNNNNNNNNNNNNNNNNNNNNNNNNNNNNNNNNNNNNNNNNNNNNNNNNNNNNNNNNNNNNNNNNNNNNNNNNNNNNNNNNNNNNNNNNNNNNNNNNNNNNNNNNNNNNNNNNNNNNNNNNNNNNNNNNNNNNNNNNNNNNNNNNNNNNNNNNNNNNNNNNNNNNNNNNNNNNNNNNNNNNNNNNNNNNNNNNNNNNNNNNNNNNNNNNUUUGGAACUCUUGCGGGACAAUGGAAAGCUCAAGUCAGGAAGGCGUGCGUGAAGAGUAGUGUCAAGCCCUGAAGCCUCACCUAAUACAUAGUUUUUUGGAGUUUUAAUAUGCACGUUCCAUCCUUUUCUCCUCAAAAAGUGUGGAGGAAAAGCAUUAGGAACCACAGAUUUGGCAACAAAAUUACUUCCAGAUAUAAAAUUAGCAAUCUCAAAGUGCUGAAAUGUGUCAUGAGGAUCAAACGGUCUUGGUUUUACAUCUUGAACAUGUCUGCAGAAACAGCAAGUAACCUUGUCCUCUUCGGUCGAACAAGCAUAUGCCAUCCUGUAAAAUAAAAAUAGAUGCAAAUUGAUCGACACAAGCAAAUAUUUAUCAACUUUGAUGAUUCUAACACUUACCCUUUAUCCUUUCCAUCUCGCUCAAUCACGUAGUAACGAUUACUGGAUAGUGAUUGAUUAAGAACAGGAAUGAAGGAAACAUCAUUGUAAUAAAUUUGGCUAUAUUCUCCACCUGAUAUAAACAUUGUUGUCAAGUUUUUGUUUUGAGAGAAAGGCAAAGUAACAGGGUACCCGCGUUUGCACAACCCAAAGCAAGAGUAAGUAGUAGGUUCUUCAUCUCGGAUGACUAAAUAACCUAAAUUUGGACCCUCCGGAGGUAAUGAAAGGGAUUCUGGAUUAUUUCUGUAGUGAGAGAGAGACCUUGUGACAUACAUUGUUAAAUUUUCAGGUACAGGUACACCUCAGCUCUCAGAUAGUCUAUUUAUUAGGGUAGAGCUAUAGGCUCGAACCCGAAUUAUAUACUUUUCUAUAUACUCGAUCUAUCUUGAAUUAAAUUUCAGGCCGGCUCAUUCCUAUAGGCUGACAGGUUCCUUAUAUGCCAUUGAGAUGUUGGAUGGUUCCUUUUGGUUGAAUAUAUGUUUGUCCGAAACCGAGAGGCUUGUAUCACUGGAAUUUAAAUAUACAUUUGGCUCUUUCAAAAACAAACAAUGAGGUUGCCAGUUUGCUAAGGUCCAUGAUACAACUGUACAGUGGUCAUUCAGACACAGACCAACUUCUCAACAUACAGGACAAUAUUACAUUUUGAGUAAUAUACAAACUGCAGAGGCUAUGAAUGAAGAACACAGACUUGAUAUAUAAAUUCACUUGGGCAAGAAAACAAAAUAGCUACAUAAUUUUCAAGAAAAACCAGAUACUGUACAAUGAAGAUAUAUCAGAUAGAAAAUUAUAUAAAUCUAAUAAAAAUUACAAAUUUGUUAAUUUAUACUGGAAAAUUUACACUCACAACAGCUUUUGAACUCAUACGGGACAAUGGAAAGCUUAAAUCAGGAGGGCGGGCACGAAGAGCAGUGUCAAGCCCUAAAGCCUCACCUAGUAUAUAAUUUGUGGGAGUUUUUAUUCUGAACACUCCAUCCUUCCCUCCUCAAUAAGUAUGGAGGGAUACCAUUAUGAGCCAAAGAUCUGGUAUAAAACUACCCUCGGAUAAGUGAUUAGCCAUUUCAAAUUGCUGAUAUAUAUCAUCAGGAUCUAAUGGUCUUGGAUCUACCACAGAUUGCUCAUUGCACAGCUACGUAAGUUAACCCUUUCGAUCUUGGAUUAAAUUUCAGACAUAUUUUUACAUGAAUUUUUAUACAGAAGACAAUAAGUUGGCUGUUGGAGGGUUCCCUUUGGUUGAAUAUAUGUCCAAAUCAGCUCAGCUUUGCAAGUACUACAUACUUUUCUGAUACUCGAUCGUAUAAAAUAGCAAGCAGCAUUUUCGAGACAAUUCCACAGGUUUGCACCACUGUACUAGAAUAAGCAUGACAAGCUGCUGACUUCUUCUUUAUAUGUAUAUAAUAGGGCUAUUGUGGCCUGUGUGACUCUUUGACAGUAUCUAAAGGCCAUAGUCUAAACAGUCUCUUCCUGCCUUUCCAUUCUCUCUAAGAUGUCUAAACUCAAACCUACACUUAGUUCUCCUUGGUUCGUAAGACUCUUAGACCAUAUAAUAUCAACCACUUUCUUCUCACGGCCUCCCUGCCUCACCAAUACGACUUCUCAUUUAACAACAGCAUCAUCCAUUACAACAUUGCCAUGAUCAAUAUCGUCAAGCUCAAAUAUCUGCUCCCAUUUCUGCUCAAGCAAAAACAUUGAAUUCAAAAUCUGAUUUCUUAUCUGCCUUAAACACCUCUUAAGGUACAUUUGAAAGUAUAAAGUUCAAGUCAGGAAGGCGUGCACGAGGAAUAAAAUCAAGCCCAAUAGUUUACCUGGUGUAUAGUUUCUUGGAGUUUUAGUGCUCAUAUUCCAUAAUUUUACCCUAAAAAAGUAUGGAGAGAAAGCUUCAUGAGCUACAGCUGAUUCAGUUUAGGUUUAACCAAAAUUAAAUUCAACUCAAAAUGAAUUGUGAUUAAGCAAAAUCACCAAAGCAGAAAUUAGUAUAAAACUUUCAUUAUUUGUUAAGACUCGGAUAAAAUUACAGAUUGAAGAAAGUGCAAUACUUAGAGGUUACCAAAGAAGUUAGAUUUGACUCACUUGUCAAUUAUGGGUUCAACUCAUAAAUACUGAGAUAUAAGCCCAUGUUAAUGUAUUAAGAGUAACCUUGAUCAGAGCCUAGUACGUUGAAAGUUGAAACUGAGCUGAUUAGAUAUGUAUUUUGAAAUACGACGGUGCUGAUCUUUUCUAAAUGAAUCAAACCUGUUAACCAAUUCAAAGUCCACGAACACUAUGUAGAUUUUUUUUGUGAAGUUAGUUAUAAUCGGCUAAAACUGACUUUGAGCGUAGAAAGAACAAGGAUGCACAAUCUCAGCAUAUAAGGAAAACGUUAUUCUUUAACUCACUAUAAACAGUAGGUUCUAUAAGCACACCAGUAGUACUUUAAUUAAACAAUAAUAUUACAACCAAACAUUUCUAAAUAAUACAAACUUACAAAUUUUAUGAAGAAACUAACCGAAUUCAUCCCCAGAAGCACUUAGUUGAUGAGUUUAAGUGCUGGAAAUCACAAUAUAAGACCAAACUUAAUUUCACACAAGCCUCACUACUAAAACAUAGCAUCCAAAAUUGAUCACUAUAAUUUAAACGGCAAAUAAUCCAGUGCCAAAGAAAGAGUAAUAUGCAUUCUCACCUAGUACAUAGUUUUUUGGAGUUCUAAUAUGCAUGCUUCAUCCUUUUCUCCUCAAAAAGUAUGGAGGAAAAGCAUUAGGAACCACACUGGCAAAAACACUACUUCCAGAUAUAUAAUUAGCAAUCUCAAAGUGCUGAUGGUCUUGGUUCUACAUCUUUAACAUGUCUGCAGAAACAGCAAGUGACCUCGUCUUCUUCGGUCGAACAAGCAUAUGCCAUCCUGUAAAAUAAAAAUAGAAGCAAAUUGAUCAACACAAGCAGAUAUUUAUCAACUUUGAUGAUUCUAACACUUACCCUUUAUGCUUUCCAUCUCACUCAAUCACGUAGUAACGGUUACUGGAUAAUGGUUGAUUAAGAACAGGAAUGAAGGAAACAUCAUUGCAACAAUUUUGGCUAUAUUGUUCACUUGUUACAAGUUCUCUGAUAGCAUAUCUAUUAGGGUCGAGAUUGGAUUGGUUUUGGUUCGGUUUUUUUGGUUAACGGGAACUGGAAUCAUAUAUUUUCGAUUUAAACUCAAUUUGAUUGUUUUUGUUUCUGUUUCGGUUAAAAUAUUGGAUAAAAAAAAAAGAGCAAGUACCAUAGUAUUUUACAAAGAAAACUUAGAUUAGAAAAUUAGUCGAAAACUUCAUAUCCUCCACUAUCUGAAAAUGAUUAUAAAAAUUCAAACUCCAGGACCCUUGAUAACAAAAAACAUACAGUCAUUUUACACCAUUUUUACAUAGGCAAAAAGAAAAAGAAAUAAAAUAGUGAAUAAAAUAUGGCUUUGCUUUGUUGCCAACAAAGGUUGGUGCGGUGGUUGAGCUCUUGUCUCUCUUGCGGGAGUUCUCCUGGCAUGUUCGUGUGUAAUCAAUUAGCAAAAUAAAAUAUGAAUUUGUUUGUAGAUAUGGGGAUAACUGAUAACUCAGGGAGAUAAAUCAAACAUAGGGAAACACACAUAGUUUUUAGUCCCACAUGCAGUUGAGUUGAUGAGUGUGCUUAAAAUCGUAAGUCAUAACCAAACUUCCAUCCAUUCUCUUUAGCACAAACCUCUCCACCAAGACAUAGCAUCUCAGCUUCCUCCAGCCUUGAGCACCUCCUGCAAACUCCACCACUCUAUUCACUCUCACCACCCUUUCUUCAUUACCAACCCAUCCAACUCUUUCUUCCUCCCAUUUCAUUCUCUCGAAUAUCUCAAUCCUCAAUCCUACACUCACCUCUUCUCUCCCCAAACUCGCAAACCAUAUAGUUUUAUAGUCAACCGCAUUCUUCUCAUACCACACAGCCUCCCUGCCUCCAACCGACACAACUUCUCUUAGAACUACUGCAUCAACCAUUACCACAUUCCCAUGAUCAACAUUGUCGCGCUCAAAUAUCUGUUCCCAUCUUUGCUCAAGUAUCAUCUCAUAAAUUAUUGAAUUUGUCAUCUGAUCACUUGGCGUCCACAUACCAUCUUUGAUAAACAUGAAAGGACAGUACCAUUUUCCUACCACAACGGCUUGUGAACUCGUAUUGGAAAGCCUCACCUAUUACAUAUUCUUUAGAAGUUUCAUAUUGAACAGUCCAUCCUUCCUUUCUCAAUAAGUAUGGAGGGAUACCAUUAUGAGCCACGGAUUUGGCAUAGAAACUACCCUCGUGGUGAUCAUCAACAAUUUCAAAUUGCUGAUAUAUGUCAUCAGGAUCUAAUGUUCUUGGCUCUACAUCAUGAACCUGACUGCAAAAACAACAAGUAGUCACAUCUUCUUCCUUGGAACAAGCAUAUGCCUUCCUGAAAAUAAGAGGGCGCGGAUCAACAAAUGAGAGCAUAAUAUUUAAUCGACAUCACAAAAAUGGAAUACCUUUUCUGCAAAAAUUAAAGAUCAAUAUUAUUGGUUUUGUUAUAUACCCUUUACGCUUUUUAUGUGAUUCUAUCACAUAGUACAAGUUUCUGGACAAUGGUUGAUUGAGAACAGGAAAAAAGGCAAGAUUGUCGUAAAAAGUAUCUUCGCCUGUAUAAUAUGCAGUAGUCAAUUUGAUGUUCUGAGGGAAAGGCAGAUGAAUAUCGCCCUUAUCUUUACUCAAUCCGAAGCAACUAACAAUCUCUUCAGGCUCUAUAUCUUGGAUGACUAAAUAACCUGAAUUUGGACCUUCAGGAGGCAAUGAAAGAGACUCCGGAUGACUUCUGAAGUGAGACACAGGUCUGGUUAUGUACAUAUUGCUCUUCUCUUAUAGUCUUUCACAUAAGUGUUACCUAAGAUAGCAUAUAUAUAUAAAUUGGCUGAACAAGAAGAUUUAGUCAAUACAGAUUGCUCAUUGCACAGCUACACAAGUUACCCUUUCUAUAUCAAAUUGAAUGUCAAACAUAUAAUCUUUCUGAGUAUAUGCUUUUGUAAAUAGUAACAAUUUAAGUACAAACACAACAUCAUAAAUUUUUUAUACUUACUUGUACAAACCAGCAAGAAGACUUUUCAAGAUAAUUUCUUCAGGUCUACACAAGAGAACUAAACUAGAACUUACAGAUAAGGAUGACACAGCUGUUGACUUCAUCUUUAGUUGGAGAUAAUUAGGAAUUGUUGCCUGUUUGGCUCUUCAAGGGUAGCUAAAGGGUGUAGUGCACCAUUUCAUUUGACCCCUUAUAUCUUUUUUUUUUCUGCAAGGAAUAAAUUCAUUCCAAAAACAAAACAUUAUAGAGUAGAGAGUACUAAUUGUCAAGUCGCAAGAUACUUGGAUCAAGCAACAGGGAACCAGUCUCUUAAGACAGUUAUUUUGGCUAAACAAUGUGUCAUUCUGUUGGCGUCUCCUAUCAACAGAGGCCUUAUACAUCACUAUGAAUAAGGGAUUACGUAACACAGUGAAAUUAAGAAAAAGGAAAACAUUAAGCCGACGGCCUCAAGAAAGAUCUGUCACACAGAACCCUGGAAUAUAAUCUUUCACUCCCACCUGCACUUGCGUUAAUGAGUUUGCUUGAAAUCACAAGUUAUCACCAGAGCCUCUCCACCAGAAUAUAGCACCCAGAAUUUCUCCAUCCUUCAGCACAUCCUCCAAACACCUCUAAUCUAUUAACCCUCACUACCAUUAGAUUCUUUUACAACCCAUCCAACUCUCUUUUCUUUGGAAUUCAUCCUCUAAACGAUGUCUUGCAUCCCAAGCAGCCUCCCUGCCAGCUCCAAUGAAUACGAGUUCUCAUUUAACUACAUCAUCGAACAUUACAACAUUGCCUUGCAUGAUCAAUAUCAUCGCACACAAAAUAUCUUUUCCCAUUGUUGCUCAAGCAAAACAUUGAAUUGACAUCUGAUUUCUUAUCUAGCUUAAACACCUCUUAAUGUACAUUGAAAAGUAAAAAAGUUCAAGUCAAGAAGGCGUGCACGAGAAAUAUAAUCAAGCCCUACAGGAUACCUAGUAUAUAGUUUUCUGGAUUUUUAGUGCUAAUAUUCCAUACUUUUACCCUCAAAAGGUAUGGAGAGAAAGCGUCAUGAGCUACAGCUGAUUCAGUUUAGGUUUAACAAAAUUCAAAUUCAACUCAAACUGAAUCGUGAAUCGUGAUUAAGCAAAAUUACCAAAGCAGAAAUUAGUGUAAAACAUUCAUUAUUUGUUAAGACUCGGAUAAAAUUACAGAUUGAAGAACCUGUAUAAAUGAGUUGGCUAUAUAGUAAUACUAUUUAUAAAGGUUAUCAAAGGAGUUCAACUCAUAAUUCGAGAUGAAGUCCAUGUUAAUGUAAAAAGAGUAACCUUGAUCAGAGCCUAAUUCGUUGAAAAUGAGCUAAGAAUUUUGAUAUAUUAUGGUGUGUAUGUUUUCUGAAUGACUGUAGCCUGUUUCUAAAAUCAAACCUGGUAACUAAUUCAAAGUCCACAAAGGCUAUGCUGAUUUAUUAAUACUUUUGCCAGUAUGUAUAUAUGUGUUUGAUGUUAGGAGUUGCUCUUUCCAAGCUGAUUCACUUGUUGAUUAUGAGUUCAACUCAUAAUUCUAUGUAUGGAGUUCAUUCCAGAAAACAAUAAAUUAAUUAUAUUCGAGGUAAGGAUCAUGUGGAUUUUUUCAGAAUUAAUGUAGCCUUUUGUGAAGGCUAGGAUAAAACAUUUUAAGCAAUUCAAAAUCCCUGCGCGUAAAAAAAAUCAGGAUGCAUGAUCUCAGUUCAAUAAGAAAACGUCAUUCUUGUACUCACCAUAAACUUACAACAGAUUCUACAAGAACACCAUUAGUACUUCUCUUAUCAAAUAGAUAAUUCUGCAACCAAACAUUUCUGCACAUCAUACAAAUUUCAGCAACACAGUGCCUCAAAUAAAUAUCACUUGCACUUCAACUCUUACACAUCAUAUGAAGAAACUAACAGAAUUCACCAAUUCACAACACAUAACCAAAACUUAACCUCUAGAAAUAAAUUUAUGAAACCAGAUAUAUUUU
This 50228-nucleotide long non-coding RNA is filed under the name Daucus carota (carrot). Its description in RNAcentral is "long non-coding RNA (DCAR_LNC004745)". Lineage: Eukaryota; Viridiplantae; Streptophyta; Magnoliopsida; Apiales; Apiaceae. The record is from RNAcentral.